RNAcentral lists this long non-coding RNA (82271 nucleotides) under Brassica napus (rape). RNAcentral's name for it is "long non-coding RNA (BNAP_LNC003372)". Lineage: Eukaryota; Viridiplantae; Streptophyta; Magnoliopsida; Brassicales; Brassicaceae. The record is from RNAcentral.
UAUUUUACAUCAUUUAUAAAUAAUGUAAAUAAUGUUCUAUUCCACCAAAAUAUUAUACAAAACUAACUCUAUCUCAACUCCUAAAAUAUAGAUACUAAACCUUAUCUAAGUCCCACUCUAACCCCUAAAUACUAAACCCUAAUCAGUAAACCCUAAACCCAAAUAUAAACUAUAAAACCAAAUAUAAACCCUAAACCAAAACAGAAUGAAACAAAAUAAACAGCAUAGUAUAUAUUGGUGAAUUAUGAAAUGUCUAUGACUGCAUGGAAGAAGUUAAAGCUGACCCUAACCAUACCCCCUCUCAUUCUAAAUUGUGAACCCUAAACCCUAACUAAACCUCAAACCCAAAUAUAAAUCCUAAACUCAAAUAUCAAAAUCUAAAAAAUACAUAAUACAUAAUAUUAUAUAAUACUAAAUUAUAUUAUGUAAUAUUAAAUUAUACAAUGUAGAUCAUAGUACGAUUUUUACAUGUUCAAAAAUAUGUAACGAUAAUGAAAACUUAAAAAAUUACAAGCAAUAUUUCUAAAUAAAAAGAACUCUCUUUAGUAAUCGUCAAAUGGAAUGGAACAUGAUAAAAUAGUAUAGUAACAUAAUAUAUUUCAUUACAUUAUAUGAAUAGAAAAAACAUAAUACAUAUUGUUUUGCAUAUAUAUUAUAUAUGCAUAUAAUAGAAUAGACCAUAAUAAACAAAAAUUAUUCAUCUUCUCCGAUCAAAUUUGGGUCAUUCACAGUGAAAAAAGAUAAGUGUAUUUGACGAUAUCAGUGGAGAUAGUACAUGUAACCACAUUGGAGAGAAGAAUUUUGUUGUUGAUACAGCAGUAGAUGGAAGAGAAGAACAUACGGUCGUAGAAAUUAGGAGAAGAAGGGAAACCGUGGCAGAAAUGAAAACGGUGGUGACGAUGAAGUAAUCGAUCAUGGUGAUGGCGCCGAUUGUAUAGAUGGAGGUGAUCGCAACUACAAGAUUCUCAUCGCUCGCCACAUGAGUCUUUAAAGCUCUAUUAUUCAUCACAACCCUUCACCAUCAACAUAGACAAUUUCAUCAACAAUCCCACAAAUUUGAGAAGAAACUGAUUCAUCUUCCCCAAAUUAUAAAAUUAGUUGCAGAGGGUGAGUGAAUAUUUAAGGGCCACAAAUUAAUUUUGCAAGUAAUAAUCAUUAAUGUAGAUUAUUAUUAUUUUGGAGGUUGUUCCAGUUGCGUACAAGGGCAAAUGGACAUUAUUACAUAAAAGACACGGAGUAUAUCGGUAUAAUAGGAAAAUUGGUUAGCGGGUGAAUUAUAAUUCUUUUAGAAGUCAUACGGUGCAAUUUCCAUAAAUAUUACAUCCUAUUAAAUUAAGCUUUUCCACGUCUCAGAUUCUUAAUUGAAUUGAAAGGUUCCCUAUCAAACUGGUCUUAACCAACAUAAUUCAAAUCCAUGAGGUAUACUGGCAACUUGAUAGCCAAAACAUACCAUGAAUAUAUAUAAUUCACACAUCCACGUUAAUUUGGGGAAAUAUGGGACAAUUUUAAAUUUUUGGACAAAAUUGGAAACAAUCAAUACAUUGGGGAAAAUUAAGGAAAGUGGGAAAAUGGAGGCAAAAUAUGUUUUUUUUUGUUUGGUCAUUAACAUGGUCUUUCUCCUACCUUCCGUUAAAGAUCGAGUGCAAAAUGUAAUUUUGUGAUUUUAGUGAGAAAAAUUAUUUAUGUUUGACCAAAAAUGUGAUUUCAUGACUUUUGCAGGAAAAAAUAAUUUUCGGGUAUGUGGGGGGGGGGGGGGGNNNNNNNNNNNNNNNNNNNNNNNNNNNNNNNNNNNNNNNNNNNNNNNNNNNNNNNNGGGUGGGGGGGGGGGGGGGUUGAAGUAAUUUUGUAGUUUUAGUGGGAAAAACGAUUUUGUGAAUUUGACGAGGAGAGUGAUAUUGUGGGUUCUUAGCAGGAGAAAUAUAAUUAUACAAUUUUGGUGGAAAACUGAUUUUAUGGUUUUGGUGAGAAAAAUUUGAUUAUAUAGGUUUGACGAGAAAAUGUAAUUAUGCGGUUUUGGUAGGAAAGUGUGAUUUUGAAUUGCAAAAACAUUUGAUUCCAACUUUUUGGUAGAAAAAAUGAUUUUGUGGUUUUGGCGGGAAAAUAAGAUUCAGUGGUUUUGGCAAGAAACAAUUACUUUGCGGUUUGGUGGGAAAAACUAUUUUUUCGGUCUUGGCAAAAAACACUAUUUUGACUGAAAAUGUAAUUUUCAAUUUUAGCAAGAAAAUAUGAUUCUGUAAUUUUGGCGAGAAAAUAUGAUUUUGGGUUUUGGCACAAAAUAUGGUUUUGCGGUUUUCAGCGAAAAAAUGAUUUUUCAAAUUUUGGCGGAAAAUUUGCGGGUUUUGCCAGAAAUGUGAUUCCGUAAUUUUGUUGGGAAAAAAUGAGUUUGGGCUUUUGGUCUUUAAAUGUAGCUCCAUGAUUUUUGCACUAAAUGUGAUUUACCAGCUUGGUGAAAAAAUGAUUUUACGCUUUCGUAGGAAAAAAAUGAUUUUGUGAUUUUUCGUUAUUACAGGAAAAUCCUCACAAACACACUCACUAGAUUAAGUUACACGAUAACUAUUCAAUACAGUUCUAGAGAUACGAUAUGGAAAUAAAAGAAACAACUUUUAGCUCUAGGAAGAAGGAGACACCUGAUUCAGCCAUUGAAAUGAAUCAGAGAUAUGAGAAGCAAAAGAGACAGAUCUGGGAUACGCCUUAGGGAUGACAAUUGGUUUUAAGAAUCUAGGUACUCGACGAGAAUUCUUAAGGAAUUUCAUAGCUAGUGAUUUACAGAUUUAUAAAGUCAAUAGCCUAGAAAAAGAAAACAGAACAAUAUUUCAGUAAGAAAAAGAUAAGUAGAUGAUAAGAUCAAAAAGAAAUAGAUCCUACCAGUUAUACUUUUGUUAUGUUUCUUUAGUAAAAAAUGAGAUAAGUUAAAGAAUGUGUUUUAGAAGUUGAAAGUGUCGUAUAGUGUUAUUAAGCUUGAUAAAGUCAUUUCAAAUGUAAAUCAGUCAGAUUAAAUGAGCCAUAUAUCAUGUAUCCAAACAUUUGUAUUGUUUUCCAUUCUUUGAUCAUUUGAAAACCCUACUUCAACCCUGCAAGAUUGGAGAACAAUGCCAAAACAAGAAUGGUUUCUUCAGUUUCUAUUUGAUCUCCUUUUGUGCCAAAGUUAUUUAAGCUUUGAUCUCGUAAUCCAAUGAUGUUUUCAACGGAAGCAUCUUUUGAUCCAUUAUCCUUUAAUAAUGUCAUGCAAAACCUAAAAAUAACGUUUCCUGUCGCAAAAUCACUAUUUCAAAAAAUCACAAUUUCACGUGAAAACCGUCAAAUCACAUUUUUCCCCAAAAUCUCGAUUUUUUUUUGGUUAUGGCACAAAAACUAAAUGUCACGGUUUUGAUGGAAACACACAAUAUUAUGGUUCUAAUGGUAAUUUUUCGAUUUUUACGAGGAAAUGUGAUUUUAUGAUUUUGGCACAAAAACAUGAUUUUGUGGUUUUGGCAAAAAAAUGUAAUUUUGCGGUUUUGAAGAAAAAUUUUCAAUUUAUGGGUUUGAUGGAAAUUUUGAUUUUCGUUUGCAAAACAAACAUUUCGAGGAUUUGACGAGAGAACACGAUUUUGCGAUUUUGGCAAAAAAAAAUGUAAUUAUGUUGUUUUGGCAGAAAAUAUGAUUUAUCGUUUUUGAGGGAAAACAUAAUAUUGUCGUUUGGACAGAAAUUAUAAUUUGGCAAUUUCUAUUGGAAAAUGUGAGGGUUUGACAUGAACUCAUGAUUUUUCCAUUUUGGCGAGAAAAGAUGAUUUUGUGGUUUUAACAAAAAACAUAAUUUUGUGGUUUUGACAAAAAAUGUGAUUUUGCGGUUUUGACCAAAAGAAGGUGAUUUUACGGUUUUAACAGAAAUUUUUAGUUUUCGUUUUAAUAGAAAACAUGAUUAUCCAAUUUUAGCAGGAAAACAUAUGUGGUUUGAAGGAAUAUCAUGAUUUUGCAAUUUUUUGGGAAAUUGUGAAUUUGGUUUUGGCAGAAAAUGUGAUUUAGUGGUUUCGAUGGAAGAACUUGAUUUAGCGAUUUUGAUGGAAGAAUUUUAUUUAGCUAUUUCUAUAUGGAAAAGCAAUGUUAUGGUUUUAGUGGGAAAACCAAAUGUUGCGGUGUAAGUUGGAAAAUUUGAUUCUUUUUAUUUGGCGAAAAAAAAUUUUGUGGUUUUGGCUUAAAACAUGAUUUUGCGUUUUUUUUUUGUCAUCAAACAUAAAGACUCAUACUGACUCUGUGAACCAAACUGGUAGCUCUGCAUCCAUGUGAACAACGAAAGACGAUUAUUUUCUGGCACCCUGUGCUAGACUAUCCACCUUUUGAUUCUCCGUUCGGGGUACAUGAAUGAUCUCUGAGCUGAGGAAACAUGUCUUCAACAUCUUUAUAUCAUCCAGAUAACUUUCAGACGCCGACCACUCUUCUGGUUCUGAAACCAUCUUCACCAAUUGAGAACAAUCUGUAGCAAAUGUAACCUGAUAUUGAUGUAAAUUCCUCAUACACUCUAUCGCCCAUAUUAACGCUUCCAUCUCCGAAUGGAGGGGUGAAAGACUUUUCCGAAUAUUCCUUGCACCCAGCAAACCAUCGAAUCCCUCAAGAAAUACUAUACCAACCCUGACCUGAAUAAUGCUCUUUAUCUUUCCACGAACCAUCUAUAAAGCACCAGCGACCUGCCCUCUUUGGAUAGUGCCUAACCUCAACUUGUUAUGAUGCCUGCUGAAUAUUCUUCACCUGAGCCUCAGCCCAAAGUUUUGAUUCGGUCUCCAUAAGAUUAAGUGUAUCUCGUGGGUCCAUAUCCAAAUUACUAAAAACUUUAUUAUUCCUACAUUUCCAAAUGUACCAUAAUAUCCAUGCAAAAUGAUGAUCUUCCAUCUCCGGGAUAACCCUCCAGAAAAGAUGAUCCAAAUUUGUGAAGAGAGAACUAGUAGGGAAAAGAUCUAGGUUUGACAGUAUCUUUGACAACGCCCAAACUUGACGCGCAGGAGGACAUUCAAAAAAUACAUGAUUUAUUGAUUCAUCAUCAGCUCCACAUCAAGCACAACAUAUAUCUCCUUGUAUUCCUCUAGCUUGCAAAUUCUUUUUCACAGCCAUACACGCUGAUACCAUUUGCCAUAGAAAAUGAUUUAUUUUCGGAGGGCAUCUCACCUUCCAACAAAACGUUUUUAAAAUAUCCACCGUAGGACCAUAGACUUCUGGUGGUUUUUCCUUAUCCGGAUAGACCCAUUCUAGCUGGUAUCCUGAUUUAACCGAGUAUUUCCCAUUAGUUGUGAAAUGCCAUCCAUCCCUAUCCACCAUUUGGUUUCUACUCAGAAGUAUACUUUCAAUUAUUUUAGCAUCCUGGGGGUCCACCAGAGCCCGAAUUGUUUGUGUAUUCCAACUCGUGAAACUGGAUCAAUGAAAACGUAAUUUUGGUGAAACGUAAUAUUCAUAAUCCAUUAAUUUUGCAGUUUUGACGAGAAAACUUAAUUUUGUGUUUUUGAUGAGAAAACGUAAUUUUGCAGUUUUGAUUAGAAAACUUAAUUUUUCAGUGUUAACAGAAAAUGAUGUUUUGUGAUUUGACGUAAAAACUUGAAUUGCGGUUUUGAUGGAAAAACCAAUUUGGUUGUUUUAGUGGGAAAAUCCGAUUUAGCAGAUUUAACGAGAAAACCUAAUUUUGCAUUUUUUGUGAUUUUGGCGAGAAAAAAUUGUGAUUAAUGAGAGAUUUUGUAAUUUGAUUACAUAUUUGUUAGAUUUUAAUAUUGUAGGUUGAGUUGGUCACUAACUCACUAUAGUUAAGAGGAAAGUAAACUUGUGUUAAUUGUGGAAAAUGUUCUAAGAUAUAAGUAGUACGUAUAAAAGUGAUCUAGAGUGAAAAUCUUUUUUUACUAGUAUUAUAUAAAUAAUAAAAGAAAAUAAUAACUAUAUCAUUUACUAUUAUUCUUUAACGUUUGCUUUUGUAGAUUAUCUAAAAAUAAUAUUCAUAAUCCACUAACUAAAUGAAGUAACUGUCUCAGUACCUCGUCACAUUAAAUACAUCACCAAGUUAGUUUAAAAAAUAUGUUUUGCUUGAUCUCUUCAAAGGUAGGUAUGCAGCCUAUUAUAUAGGACAGCUCAAAGUACAUUUAUGAUACCUAACGAUCGGUUCUUAGAAUAUCCCUUUAUUAUUAAAGGAGGAGCAUUAUUAGAGACUAACCUUAAGCUCAUGUGUUAAUAACAAGAAUGUCAUUUUCUAGGUGGCAACACCAUAUUCACUCUCACCCUCUCUAAUUAAUUAUCCUCUCUUUACUAGACUUAUUACAUUUUUUGCCAUUAUUCAUUAAUUGUAACUUAACAUAAUGUUAUAUUCACAUUUACAUAACAUGUUUGUUAGUGUGUAUGCAAUGUGAUCUCUAACUUUGUUUACACUCAAUUUGUUUUAUUGGUCCAAACAAAACCAAUGCAUCAUGGUUUAGUUGCAUUACAAACCACGAUUUUGUUUAAUCGACGUGAUUUUAUUUAUAUUUUUUAAAAUGAUAUUUUAUAAGCACAAAAUUUAUUCGACAAUUUUAAUAAUAAAAAAAAAAUCAUUUCUACUGAAGAACAAUUUACAAAAGUUAGCCAAUGGAACAAAAAUGGUUUUCUUUAGAAAUGAAAAAUGUGUUUUCUAUGAAAUUUGAAUCAUAAAUUCUACUUUUACUUUAAUAUUAAAAAACUAUAUCUGUUAAGAAGAUUUUUUUAAACUUAUUAUAUAAUGUUUAGAAGCGAAAAUAUGUUUUCUAUGAUAUCAGAAUCACACAUAUGGUUUUUUACUUUAAUAUUGAAAAAACCAUAUAUGUUAAGAAGAUUUUACUUAAACCACAUCUUUAGACGCGAAAAUGUGUUUUCUAUGAUAUUUGAAUCACAAAAUCUAUUUUUUAAUUUAAUAUUGAAAAAACCAUAUAUGUUAAGAGAAUUUUAUUCAAAUUAAUAUAUUUUGCUCAGAAGAUUUUAUUUAAACUUAAUAUAUAAUAUUUACACCGUUAAAUAUGAAAUACUGAAGAAUACAUCUUCAAAAGUUAUAAAGAGGAGAACCCCGUAUAUAAUAUGUAUGAAUCAGAGCAAAUUUUAAAGUUCAUAUAGUUCAUAUAGUUCUCAUGGUCCAAGAUUUGUUUUAUGCAGGUAAUUUUAAGCUGUCCACUGUACAUUGGGUGUUUAAAUUACGCUAGAUACAUUUUUCCUAAAAUGGUAUAAAAUACAAUGCACUUCAUAAUAAUGUCAUUUCCUCUUGAACCCUAUCAAGAAUGCCUUCCAAGCGCUCUGCAAUUAUAGCAUUUAUUCCCGCUCUCUGAACAUUUCAAAAAUAGAUUAUACAUUGUCAAUUAGCAUUAUUUGUGUGCAAAUGAGUGAUCUUCAUUUUUUUUUGAAACACAAGGAAUGAUCUUCAUAAUAUUCAAAAUUAGGAAUGAUGACACAUAUUCCUGUUUUAAACGUACUCAUUAAUGUAAUUGAUUUUGGUAAUAGAAAAUUACUGUCGAAUUAGAAAUGUUUUGAGCUAAAUAUAACACUAAUUCCUAUUUUAAACGUACUCAUUAAUAUUAUACGAUUUUUAAUGGAAAAUUACAGUCAAACCCGAAUCAUACAUUCAUUUAUUCAUCGACAUUGAUUGAGUUUUAAUUUAUUUGCGUUGACCAAUAUAUGUAAUUGUUUUUAUUAUAGACUAAUAGUCCAUCGAAUCCGACGUGAAUUUGAAUUACGAACAUACUUAUGGCAUUCAUGGCAGACCUUCUCAAUACAUCCUCACCAUAUUAUUUUCUUAUAUUUUGUUUCUUUCAUAUAUUAUUACUCUAUUACUUAUCCUAUGUUUUAUUUUAUAUUUAUAAUUUAUUUAUGAAAACAAUAAUUAUAUUGCCACUAUCGCCAAUGUUUUGUUUAACUUUACUUCAUAAUUUAUUUUAUAUAAGCUUUUUUUACUCCUAGAAAUUCACUUCUAGGACAUAUACUUCAAAGUAACAAAACAAAUAUACAAGUUUAAAAAACAAACUGAAGCUUAAUUUAUAUAGACAUACACAAUUUCGUGAAAUCUUUUACUAUAUAAAAUAUAAUAUUUCUUUCUAUGAUUUUUAUUUUUCUAAUACCUAUAUAUUUAAAGUGAUAAACUAUAAGUCUCUUAACUCCGCGCAGGGCGCGGGUUAUCACCUAGUUAGCUCAUUAUUAGACGAGGAAGUGGAAACUUCCAUUGUAAAACUUACCAAUAAUAUUACCGUACACAGUGCCGGUCCUAGGAUUAUAUAGGCCGGAAGCAAAUUAAUUUUUUGGGCCUGUAAAUUGGCUCAUUUAAAAGAAAUAAGGAAAUAAAAAUAAUUAAGUGUUGAGGAAGAAUCGAAGACAUAACCUCUCCCGUGUGUGGCAGCAACUUUGACCAACUAACCUAGUGGACAAUCCUGGAAAAUGUGGCUGAAUAUUUAUUAAUUAUUAGGUGGCCGGAAGCGUAUGCUUCCUUGGCUUACCUUCAAGGCCGGCUCUGACCGUACAGAACUUCACUCAAAUAGACAAGUCAGAUCCGUAUCCAACAAAAUACAUACAUGAUGUUUAUUGAUAUAAGGAAAAGUAAAACAUUUCAACUUUAGCUAGGUUCUAUAGUUGACUGAUAUUUGCUGGUUGGCCGUAUGGUCGACGUAGACGUAGAACCGAUCUCAAAAGUACUGUUCGUAGUGUCAUAGUUAAAAUAAACGGGAGGUUUAGGCCGAGGAAGCUCUGUUGAACUUUCUUACAUUACCACAAGGGAGGACAUUGUAGGUAUGUCUCGUGGAAUAUUCUGUACGCACAAGGGAGGACAUUGUUGUCGACAUAGAUGUAGAACCGAUCUCAAAAGUACUGUAUGUAGUGUCACUGUUAAAAUAAACGGGAGGUUUAGGACGAGGAAGUUCGGUUGAACUUUCAAACAUUACCACAAGGGAGGACAUUGUAGGUCUGUCUUGUGGAAUAUUUUGAAUGCAUAACAGACCAAUUUGGGUAUAUCGAACAAUGCAUAACAGACCAAUUUGGGUAUAUCGAACGAUCUGAAUCAUUGUUAACGGUGAAGAUGAUGAAUCCAUAAUGGAUGGAUCAACUACCUCAAGCAAGCAUUCUUCUUCCCAGUUCCUCCACAUCUGCUUAUAAAAUGGUUUUUAGUAAUGUUACUUGGGAAAGAAACAUAAAUGAAACCAAUGAUAGAAUUACUUACGCAUGUGAGGAGACUAGUCUCUCCCUUAGAGUUGGUGAACUUAUAGUUCGCCUUGCCGCUUAUUAUUUCAAGAAUCACAACUCCAAAACUAAAGACAUCAGUUUUUUUUGUGAAUAUCUUGUCAGACCAGCACUCGGGAGCUAUGUAUCCCCUGAGUAAACCGAAAAAUAAGAUGAUCAGUUAUUGAAAGAGUUUUUAUCCACUUGUUGAGAAAUGAAUGUACAAUUAUGUUGAAAAACUUACCGGGUUCCAGCUACCUUAUUCGUGUUGGUUUGGAUAUGGUCUCUACUAACUAGUCGAGAAAUCCCAAAAUCCGAUAUUUUGGGAUUCAUAUCUUUAUCAAGCAAGAUGUUGCUUACUUUCAAAUCUCGGUGGAUGAUCGUUACACAUGAAUCGUGGUGGAGAUACGUCAUUCCUCUUGCGAUUCCUUUAAUUAUUUUAUGUCUUAUUUUCCAACUUAGCUUAGAGCUUUCGGUACUUCCUACAAAUUGAACACAUAUUCGACUGAAUUAGCUUCGGUCUGACCUCUAGACAGAAGAAGUUUUACCAAAACAAAAAUUGAAAGAAAAAUAUACCAACCAAAGAUAUACAAAUCAAGGCUUCGAUUUGCGUGGUACUCGAACACCAAUAUGUGCUCGUCACUGUGGAAACAAUACCCAAGUAGACUAAUAACAUUGAAGUGCUGAAGUUCUGAAAUUAAAUUCACCUCGUUCAAGAACUGAGAGGUUCCCGAAUCUGACAUUCUGGUCAGUCUCUUCACAGCGAUAUCUGUCCCCUCAACUAAUUUUCCCUGCACACUCCAAAAAGUACAACAUAUUGUAUUAGAUUAUGCAUGAUAAAAAGACACAUGACCGAAACUAUUGUGUAAUUUCUUUUUCUGAACCAUAAAUUCGGAGCCAAAGUUUGGUGUACCAAGAUUGAAACCAUAAACUAAGGUAACUGAAGGAAACAACGAUAUAACUACCACCGCACUACUGGAGAACACACAAUAAACGGAAAUUACUAUUGUGUAUUUUUUGAUAUUUCACAUGGGCUUAUAAACCCCAACAUAUUUUAGGUAGAUAAAUUGUUUUUAUAGCUAAUAAGAACCAACACGUUAACAAAUUUUAUUAUUUGUUAUAAUAUAGUUGUACCUUGUAAACUGUACCAAAUCCACCUUUGCCAAGUAUGUUUGAAUCACAAAAGUCGUUUGUUGCUUCAGCUAUAGUUAGAAACUCUAUCCGUUGAACUCGAGCUGCCACAACCUCGUACGAGUCAGUUCUAUCUCCGUCGAUUAGCAAAUCUGUGUUUCUCAGUAAGACAAAACAAAACAAAAACUGGGUAGAACAUCAAGAAAUUGAAUCAGAUCAGAUAAUGAAAUAAAGAAAGAAAUUGUUACCAGUUGCUCCUGAUGGCUUCUGCAUUAUCUUCCAGCACCACCAUAAGAUGGUGAAAGCCAGAACACUGCAGAUGGCUCCUCCGCCACCAAUUAUAACCCUUUUGAUUGUUCCACUAAACCUUCUAGUUUUGCCUAAAAAAAAACAGAAUCAGUAUUAUUAAUUCAGGAUCAUUCUUAUUAUCUGCCCUUAGUGUACCCUAGAAUAUUAAAUCUAUUGCCACUAGACCUACUUUUAAAAAACUGAUUUUUUUAUAUAAAUGUAUCUAUUUAUUUUAAAACUCUUACCACACCAUAUUUUCUCGACCAAAAACAUUUAUCACAUUCUCUUUCUAAGCAUUUUUUAUUUUCAUCAAUUAAUUUAUCACUAACAAACAAAAAUUAUGACCACAACAAUUUUUAGUUCCAGAACAAUGUACAUGAUGAUGAUCAAACCAAACUGGAAUUUUAUAAACACGAUGAAGAAAGUUUUAUGAUUAUAAUUUUCUGCAUUUCCUACAUUUCUUUUUUUUUUUGUAACACCUGCAUUUCUUACAUUUCAAAUCUCAUUUUUAAUUGAUAUUUCUCUGAUAUUUUGUUCCAAAAUAGAAUUUGUUGUAUUUCAUUUUGAAAUUGAUUUGUAUAAUUAUCGAUGCAGAUUAACUGCAAAAUUUAAGGUUUAUACUCUCAGUAUAGAUGAACAGCAGGAUGUUAGUCUUAAACGCGAUAAAUGAUGAAUUGGAUUCAGAUAUUUUAAUCAUCUAACCUGGGUUUAAGAAUGAUGAAUGACUUUUCAGAAGCCCUUUUUAACAACCAGAAGCCCAUUUAACUAAUCCACUUAAAUUGGAUUCAGAUAAUAUAAAUUCAGUUCAAUAAAAGUAAAAUUAUCUACUUUAUUAAAAUGGAGUCUUAUUUGAAUUCUACCAUGACAUGUUUUUAAUUUUGGGCCUAUUAAAUAUGUUGUGACUAAAUAUAAAAAUAUAGACUUUAUUAAAUUCACUUUCAUCUAUCACCGUUAGGAGGAGGUUUAAUACACAUUCACCUAAUUAUUUGAUUAAACAUAUUACUAAACUUAAAAGUCUACACAAGUUCAUAUGUCAUCGUUAAAAGCUUUGAACGAAAAAGUCAUCAACAGUGAAAAUCAAAAGCAAUUCUCGAGUCGAGAUGGAUUUAGUCUUAAGAUUUUCAAUCUAAACAGGAAGUAGGGUUUUUAAUCUGGAUGUGGGAAUAUCGAUUGGUAACGUUUUCAUUGAUGGUUCAUUAUAAAUUUUUAGUGCUUGGUCAAGUUUGUAUAUGUUCUUUUGGGUGGCUUGAUGGGUUUAUUUUCGUGAAAUUUAAAAGCUUUAGGCACGUGAAAACGUGGUGCGUGCUGGUGGUGGGUGUAGGAUGAGUCGGAGAGACCUUCAACUUCUGGUUCUAGCUCCUCAUCAUCCAACGUUCUAGAUUAGUACUUUAAUAGCUUAUGUGUCUCUUCUACGUUAUUCUUUGUCAAGGAUUGAGUUUUCUUUUUCAAGUUUAAACACAACAUCAAAUAAAAGACAUGGGCUUCAGAUGAAUUUAAAGUUUAUGAUAAUUUAUAGCUGGUAACAACAACCAUGUGUUAUUGGUUAGUGCUUACUAUAUAUCCAGUGAGAACUCGGUACCAAUAAUUCAAAAAUAGCCAAUUAGUUUUUAGUUUAUGUUUAAUUUGUCAUCUUGCUGUAGAGAUAGCUUUAGACUAUGGCUGUUGCGAAACUAAAUGAACUACUGACCUUGGAAUAUUUAUUUGGGAUUUGUAGAAGAGACGGCAUAUACCAACAGGCAACAGCAUCUUUAAAUACCCAACCCACAAUAUUUUCUACACUGAACAUAUUAUAAAUAAGAUUUGUAUUGUUAAACAGAUUUUUAGUUCAACGUUUUCAGGAAUAUUUUUAUUUUAUUCAAUUUCCUGUUUUUGCUAUUUUUAUAUGUAGAAUAUAUUAAUUACAUUCCAACUUUCCCGAAACAGUUUAAGAAAGUUGUUCACUAUUUAUUCACUUAAUUAAGUUUUUAAAUAACUAAACUAAAAAUAAAAUGUCUAACAUUGUUAUUUGAUCCAAACCAAAAACCAAAAUAACUAAAUUCAAACCAUAUUCAAAUUCAAAAAUAACUGAACGAUUACUAUAUUUCUUGAACCAAAUACCACAUCCGAACCGGAACCAAACAAAAAAAAAAUCUGGAAACGAACCCAAACUUAUAAAAUUUUAUUAAAUCAUAAUUUUUAAUUUAAAAACAUAAAUUAUAAAUAUAAAUAAUCUCGCGCAUCCGCGCGGGUCAAAUUCUAGUUUGUAUAAAAAUAAAGUACAAACCAUGAAAACUUAUAAUUUUUAGAACUACAAAUUAUUUAAUGUAUAAGAAAAAGGUUUCCAAAACUAAAAUAAUUUCGCAUUAGAUUAUAAAGUUUUUGACUUAAUGUAAAAUAAAGUUUACUUAAAGUAUAACUUUAAAAAUAUUUUAAUCGAUUUGUUGACAAAUGAAUAGUCAUAAUUGUUAAAAAUUAUUAUGCAGUGAUUUAGUUAAGAUUUGACAUAGGUAUUCACUCGGGUAUGGUUAGUUUUUUUGUUAUCAUUUUCUUAGGUUUUGAAAAAAAGUCGCAUCAAUACUAUUAAAAUGGAAGGAGUCUUAAAAAAUCUACCUAUAAAAGUUGUUUGGACUCUUUUAUUUAACUCAUUAUUUUUUGGUAUUACCUUAAAUUUAGACUAACAAUAUGUUAUCAUAUAUUUCUCUAACAAUAAUUUAUUCAAUUCCUUUAUUUAUUCAAAUAUCACUCUUAAAUCUUAAUCAUUACUAUUACUAUAUUUACUAUUUUGACUUUUAAUCAUAAAAACAUUGAAACUAAUGUUUUAUAUUAUCACUUUUAUCAUAUAAUAUAUGAUUUAAAGCAAGAGAAGUUACAUGAUAUAUAUGUGUACAUUCUAACUUCCUCUUUCCUUUAUAAUAACAUAAUCAUAUCAUAUAUAAACUUUCCUACUAAAAUUUCAUAUUAUAUACUAAACUUUUAACCCUCUAUAGUUUGAUAGAUAUUUUCAUAUUUAAAAAUGAGUUUUCUAAAAAUAUUUCAUCAACCAUGUUUUUGUACAAUAACAUUAAAAAUCUAUAUCAAAAGGUUGUUGGACCCGAGAUAGACGUAAUAGGUCCACAUCUGUUCGGGUAUUUAGGAUCCUAAGAAAAUUCGAAAUAUCAAAAAAAUCUGAAAAAUAUCUGAAACACGAAAAGUACUUGAAACUCCAAACAAAUACCCAAAAAAAUUCAAAUACCUAAAAAUUCAAAAUCUUAUUAAAAAUCUGUCACUAAACUGAAAAUACCCAAAAAAAAAUUUUAAUUUGAAAAUUUACCUGAAAUCAAAACUAUAAUCAUAAACCAAAAACCUAAAAAAAAUAUCCAUAAUGCUGGAAACAUAUUCGAAAUAUCCAAAUAUACCUAAUAAACACAACAUAUUUAUGAUUGGGUCAAGGGUAGUACCCGGACACAAACAAAGACAUGCGGGUCCAAAAAAAAACCCCAAUUCUUAACUUCUCUUGACCUGAACUAAAACUAUAUUUCUGGGUCGGUUCGGUUUGUUUUUUUGAUCCGGAUAUAAUUCUCAUGCCUAAAACAAAUUUACGUAAAAGUGUACAUAUAAAAUAUCAAAUAAACUAAUUCAUAGAUUAUAUAACUGUUAGAAAUUAUAUUUUCGAUAUAAUAAAACUUUGUAUUAUAAUAUAAUCCAAAAAAUCCGCGCUUUCCAAGCGCGGGUCAAAAUCUAGUUCUUGUAUUAUAAAAACUGGAUCAUGUUUUCAUGGAUCCUGGUGAAUAUAGUUUUAAUGAAAAAAGCAAAAUUUUCCGAAUACUUAUUUGGUUUUGGUGCGGAGCGGGUUCAUUAUCAAUUUCGGAUAUGGCAAUUAAGUUCUAUUCAAAGAUAUAUAAUCUAAGUCUAAUUGGUUCGAGACCCCGACUUUUGAGUCGGUUCCAUGUCAGUUUUUCUAUGCGGACAUUAUUAACUAAUUACAUUAAUAACAACAAUGCUGAUAAAUACAAAAAUUUAUAUCCUAAUUUUACUGAACUUGAUUACAUGUUUUAAAAUUUCAUCUCCUAUAUUUGCAUAUCAUUCUAAAAUCUGAUUACAUAUUUCAUAAUUAGAAGAAAAAAAAUUGACUAAAAAAUCUGUUAGUGUUUGGAUUCGAACCUGAUAUAGAAACUAAAUACACCUGACUCAUUAACCACUCGCCCAUUCGUAUUUUUUUAAUAAUUAGAAUUAUUUCAAUUCAAACAUUAAACAUAUAAUAAUUUGCAUAAAUUAUGUUUCUUUUGUAACAUUUAAAAAUAUAUACAAAAUUGAAAGUAUAAAUUUAUAUCAAAUAUAUUUAGUUUGUUCCGAUAAUAAAUUUGCGCUUUCAAAAUACUAGUAUAAUAUUAAAACUACUCUUAUUUUGAGUUUACUCUAUGAAGAGAUAAAAAAUUUACCGAGAUAACUAGUAGCCACUUUGAUGUAUAAUUGUUGACCACUUUGCAGUGUUCGUAAAUCAACUAGAUCAGAACUGUAAAGGAAGCAAUCCAACUCCACAUUAGCAAACCCCGUACAGCUGCAAUCUUCUAUACACCUUUGUCUACAUUCCUUUGGACCAAUGCUCCUCUCCAAACCCGCGUCCUUUGUAUCUGGCAACUUGACAUUCUUCAGAACUUGAAACCCAUUGCCAGUACAGUUCAACCGACUUAUUCUCUGGCAUCCUUCUGUCAUGUUUCUUAACCACCAUCCCCGCCAGUUUCUUGGCUUAAAGCCUUUGAAACACGUACAGCCGGCAAACACGUGAACGUCCACCUUCUCAAGGCUGCAGACGCUGUUAGAACCACAAAUCUUGCCGUAAAGAUCGCAUCUAUCUCUGGGCCCACGCCAUAGCAAGGUCUUUUCACGUGUAGUUGGAGACCACGAAAACUGCUGUAAUAAUCCGUCAUAUGUAACUUGCAGUAGUAGCAAGUAGUAUCCAUUGCCAAGUGCAUAAGGUGUCUUUAAACCGAAACUUCUUCUGUAAACCGGUGAUGAUUUCGCGUCCAACAAAAACAUCUCCUGAUUUUUGCUCAGCAAUGCAUACGAAUAAAUUCCGGUAGAAGGGUUGUUGUUGCUUAUCCACGAAGUAAGGCUUCUGUUGACGCCUUUAGCCAAAUCAGACCCAGGGAGUAGUGUGUCGGUCGGGUAAUCGAAACUUUCCCAAAGAAACGAAUCCCCCCUGUUGUCGUCUGAGUAUCUCAACACGAAGUUUCCGUUAGAUAGAAGCUCUGCUACCACCGAAGAUGUUUUAGGAGGAGAAGGGACUACCGCAUUCGAAGAGGACCAUAUAAUGUUUCCAGAUUGAUUGACAAUGACGAGGUUGGACUUGUAUAUUUUUAAGGCUCCCUUGGAAUCAUACAAGGGGCUCUCUCGAUUAGCUACCCAAAGAGGAUUCAUCUUCGAACUAGCUUUGUAGAACCACAAGCCUAGGUACCAACGCUCGCCAUCUUCUUUAGUAUUAGACCCGGCGAGUUUGAAGAAACCGAGCUCGAAAACGUUACCGGGAGAAAUCAUUGUGCGAUUGCUUGAGAUCGAGAGAAUUUGGUUAGCUGUCAAAGUGUUUGACGACCAUACAAAUGGCACGAGAAUCAAAACAAUAUAGUAUGAAAUAAAGGUCUGAUGAUUUGCCAUUUCUUUGAGAGAAACUUGCGAUUCAAGCAAAACUAUUCUCCGCUCUCUCUUUUUAUUUUUUUAUAUACAAAAGAUAACAAGUUAAACUCAUUACAUGUGCGUUUUAGGCUUGCAUUUACUGACAACAGCGACGAAUUGAACACAAUCGAUUUGUUAACUAACUGUGUUCGGCAACCUAAAAUCCUUGAAUUAUUUUUAAGACAAGACUGACUACUACUCUAAGGGAACAAGUAGGCAUGGGCCUAUAAACCGGGAACCGAAUAAUAAUAAUAAUAAACCUGAACGAACUUAAGGUCACAAAUUACCGAGUGGUUCAUCUAUUUAAAAAAAAAAAAAAAGCAAACCAGUUAUCCAAAAUUUUUAAAAACAAUUUACAUACUUAAAAAAAUUAAUUAUAUUUAGUUUUAAAAUUACUUAUAAACAGAUAUACCCAAAAUACUUGGAUAUCUUUUUAUCUGAAAUAUUAAAAUUAUUUUACAUAUCUGAAAGAAACUAAUUACUUCAGAACAUUUAAAUUUAUCCUAUUACCCGAUAUAUAAUCUGAAAAAUGAAAAGAUCCAAUUUAUUAUCCAAAAUUAAUUAAAAAUUGGAACCGAAUCAGAGCCAAAUUGAGACCAAAAAGUUUAUCCGAUAUUCGUUAGUCCCCAUAAUAGUUAUCCUAACCGAAUAAACCAAAAUAACUGAACCGAAUUGAAUCAAAUUUCAUAAAUAACUAAUCGGUUUCUACAUCUAUAGAACCGAAAAACCAAAAAUCAAAAGAACCGAACUGGAACCAACCAAACACCCAAAACUAGGAACAAGGAUUUUUGUGACAAAAACUUAAAAAGAACUAUUUGAGAGAAUUGCCUAUAUAAAAAUGACUGGUGAAUUCAUAUGCGUUAAUAUUUUUAUAUCUUAUCAUCGUAACAGUUUGAUCGACCAUUAGCAUUAUUAGUGAUUUCAUGUUCAAAAGUUAAGGUUUAUGGAGUUGGUUAGUGUUUACUAGAUAGUUGUUAGUAUAUAAAUCAAAUAGGGUGAGAAAAAAGAUAUAACAUUUGAAUUUAAAAAAUUAAACAAUUUAUACGAGUAAUUAAUUGUUAUUUUUAUUUAUUUUACCCAAAAUUAAUUUCAAAAAUAUAGAAUUGUAAUAAACUGUUUCAAAGAUAAUAAUAACUCUAAAAAUAUAUAAAAUUAUAUAGUUACAAAAUUAUUUAUUUUUAGAGUUUUUAUUGGGAUAGAACCGUGGAUCACACAACUCUGUCAAGAAAAACAUACGUUUGAAGUAUUAAAACCGAUAGCUUAAAUAUUGAUAAAACAAAUAUGGUAUAUAGCAUUCCACAGAAAGUCAAGAAGUUGUCAAUACCUUUUCCUGGGUAAGUAUUUCAGAGGUGAAUCUCAUAGUUUCAGAUUUUAUUUUAUUAGCUAAAGUUUACGGGUGAAAACAGAAAAUAUGAAAGCCCUAGAUACAUACAAAAGAGUUUUAGCCCACAUAUACGUUUUAUUGGGCCAGAAUGCGGAUUUGACUAAAUAGGUUUCCAUAAUCAAGUUACACGUGAGUAGUGAAACAAUACGGUUAACAAUCGGUGAGAGGCUCAGAUCCUUAGAGACAAACGGUUCCAAACAUUAGCUAGUGCAACAGUCGACUCCAUUAGUGCAAACUGCUCUCCAAUGCAUUUCCUUGGCCCUCCACCAAAUGGUAAAGAUUGAAAGUCUGCUAUGAUCUGUUCUCACCAUAACACCAUCCCACAAAGGAGACAAUAGUCUUGUUACAAAGCAGGAGAGAGCUAACUAAAAAAUAAUGAAUUUAAGGGGAAGACUGGAUUUGCAAGUUUUGGAUGUUCACCUCGUUGGGGUAAAGUGCACCAGGGCUUCGAGAUGGAUCAAAUCCAGCCCAGCCUUCAAUACCAUUGCUCUCCUUUGUUCUUAAGAACCUAUCAGGCUCAAACUCUUGUGGGUUAUCCCAAAAGUAUGGAGAUCUAUGGAGAUUUUACACCUGAAUGUUUAAUAACUGAUAAAAUUAAACAAAAGCAGGUUCCAUUGAAGAAUCAUAAACUAAUAUAAAAAGAUACUACGGAAAUGAAGAUAUCGGUCCUUUUUGGAACUUUAUGACCUUCCUCUUCACCUUUGUAUCCUCCUGCAUACGCAAGACAUGGUCUAAGUCUUUCUCUAGUCAUUUCUGUACGCAGACUGCAUAUAAUCAUAAAUUCAUAACAGAAGCUUCUUGUAUUUUAAUGAAAGCAACUUCAUACAUACCAUUCAAGGUUUCUGGUUUAAGAGUGUGCCUGAUGAGCAGAGGCGGCUGAGGAUACAGACGAAGGGAUUCUACACCAAUGAGUCAUAUGUACCUGCAGAAGCAUUGAGCAAAGCAGUCAAUGAUUGAAACAACUAGACCAAAAGAAAGAUCUAAGAAGAUAAUUUAUAAGUUAACGUACUCUAGCUUUUUCAAUGAUUCAUUAGUAGGUGCACCUUCACCAAGCUUUCCUAAUUUUUUCAGGAUUCUGCAAGUUUAGAAGCAAAAUACUAAAUAACUGUACAAUGAGAUUUUAAGCAGUCAUGGAAAAAAUGGGAAUAUGACAUUUAAGAGCAUACUUGUGCAAUAAGAUUGAUGUACAAUAAGAUAUAUAAUCUUGCAUACCGGUCAUCAAUUGAUCAAUAUCAACACCGCGCAUGUCGACCAAGAACCGUAAAAGACUUGCAUCAUAUGAAUCCAAGAAAACAAAAUCAAAAGACUUUCAUAACCUUUAGUAAUGAAUGCAAGAGAUAAAAGAUAGCAGAACCUUCUUGAGAUUAGAGUAGUCACGUUGCUGGAGUUCUCUAUAUCUGUUUCCUGGGAAAAACAGAGAUAACAAAGUCAGAAACUAAACAGUAGAAUGAAGAUAGCAUCAAGUAGUGAAACACCUGUCUUGUCUCUUUUGCGUUUUGAAUGACUCCAUCAAGGCAAUCGUUUAUAAUCUUGAGAUCACUUUGGAAUUUUCUUUGCCUUGGAACUUACCAUCUGGCUGGAGGAAAGUUCCAAUAAGUAGACCGAUGAUCUGCCUCGAAAAGAGUUCCAUAAACCGCCUGCGAUGUAAACAAAAACAAGUCAAGAAGGGACCGGACCAGCUUGCUAAUAGACAAUUCCAAGAAAUUAAAAAACCUUACAUCUAUAAUGUUGCAGUAUCACAAUCACAUCUACUAAUCACUAAUACACAUUUAUUUCAAAUCUUGAGUAACCUUUAGGAUAGAUUCCAACAUAUAUUCACCAAAAGAAAAUCUUUCAUUCACCUCUUAAACUAAAAUUCACAUCACUUUUUUUAUGUUUUUUUCCAUGGACAUUAAACACGAAAAACAAAAUAAAAUUAAUUAACAGAGUAUAUUAAACUUUGUACUGAAACUAACUCUAAAAGUGAAGAUAUUUGAUAUUGUUACCUUUGCAUCUGGACUUAAGACGACAUGAACUUAAUGUAGAUAUAACCAUAAACCCAGAUUAGCAGACGAAAUCACUGAGAACAAUGAAAGCUCACUGCCAGAUCGCUGACCACAGCAGCCAUGACAGACACAAGGUUUGAGCCAAUGCAUCUCCAACUAAAUGACGAACCGUAGCAUCAUCAGCAGAAAGCGCAGCUCCAAUAGGAGUAUUGAUUUCUCAUUCUCAUCAACCGGUCCAAUUUCCACGUGAACCUCUUUCUCAUCCGCUGCACCAGUUUACAUCUGACCAUAGACCAUAGACCAUACAAAGAAAGAUGGUAGACCCACGAUAGAGAAGCUACAUGGAGAAGCAUGAAGAUGAUUGAUCAAAACUUUGUAUCGGAUUAUAACUGCUCAAAUGGUUUGAUUAAGGAUUUUAUAACCCAAGAGAUUAGAAUCUCUAAAGUCGUGUUUGCUUAAACUUUAUUCAAUUCCUUGGUAGAUGUAACGGUGGAUGAUUGGCAUUCUUUAACAGAAAAUCAAGGUUUUAAUGAGUAGGCAAUAAGAUUAAAGACCCAUAUGGAGGGUAGUUGCCGAUAAGUCACAUUUGGAAUCUCUUUCUACGAAGAAGACGAUGACUCAUGAUAACAAAAAUAUAGACACACUGCAUUAACAAUGAUAAAUAUUUUCUCCUCUUUUUUUUUACAAAAACAACGAUAUUACUCUUUAUAUAAUAAAUAUACAAUUUUUUUUUAGAAUUGACCUGGACAUUAAAUUGGAUAACUUUUCAGGUCACCGGAUUAUUAGAUGACUCCGGACGAACCACAAGUUAAUUAGUUUUAAUACAUAGUUAUGUAUUACCUUUUUCAUAAUAUCAAAAUUAACAUUUCUUUCAAAAAUAUUAAAAAAUAUUAAAAAAUUAGUUUCUUUUUUUCAUUUAUUUUAAUAAAUAAUUUAGACUACUAUGCAUGGCAACGGAUUGUUCUCAAUUAGUAAAGAUAGUUUCAGAACCGGAAAAAUGACCAGCAUUUGACAUUUACCUGGGUGACAUUAAGCUUUUAAAAAUAAGCUUCCUUAACUCAGAAAUCGUUCAUGUAUCUCAGACGAAGAAUCUAAAAGGGUGGAUAGCUUAGCACGCAGUGCUAGGAAACAACCAUCUUUCGCCGUUCACAUAGAUACAAAGUUACCGAUUUGGUUUACAGAGUCAACAUGAGUCUGUAAAUGUUUGUUGUUCAAAAAAAAAAGACUACUGUCGAUAGAUAACAGGAAAAAAAAACUAAUGCCAAAUUUCAUCAACUACCGGUUGAAUUCUAAGUGUAUAUACAUGUUUGGAAUGCAAAAACAAACUUCAGAUUUCUUUCUUGGCAUCCGUUUUGUAUAGUAAGUUAUUAGUAAUUGAAUAUAGUUUAUACGAUACCGAAAAUAGAUCAAUUGAUAUUUGAUACAAACAGUGAAUAAUGUAGAAAAAUAUAAUAAAUGUAUAAAUAUAAAACAUAGUAUAAAAGAGAGAAAAAAAUAAUAAAUGUAUAAAUAUAAAACACAGUGAAUAAUGUAGAAAAAAUAAUAAAUGUAAAAGAGUGAGCCAAUCAAAUUAUAACGUUUUCACUUAAGUGUGUUGUCAAAUAAUAGUAUGAUGUAAUAUCUACUUGGUUUGUUUUUUUUUUUUGUUAUCCUGUCAAGAUGGUGGACAUGCAUAUUGGUAAAAAAGCAAUUGCAAAAGAAGGAAAAAAUUGUUUUAUUAGUAGAUGAGCCUCUUGCAAAAUAAUAAGGUGGCGUGUACAAAGGCAGACACAUUUAAUGUGACCUAGAGUUUAACCCGCACGCAUGCAUGUACAUAUAUUUUUUAUUUUAUAAAUAUAUAACUUUGAUAUUAUCAUAAAAAGUACAAAUAUAUGAUUUAAAUUUAGUGUUAUCUAUACUAUAUUAAAAGGGUUAUAUGAGCAUCUGUCCACAUAGGACAAUUAAAUCAGCCAAUCAGGUGGCUUCUUUACGACACGUCAGACACGGUUUGACCAAAGGCGAUCCUCGACCCCUUUUCUUUUCGUCUUCUCCGUCAUCUUCGUUUCGUGAGAUCGCCGAUCUGGCUUACUAGCAAUCAAUCCCCUCCUCUGCAAUCAAUCCCCUCACCAUUUCUAUACACUAUUUAAUCUCAUUAAUGGAACCUUUUGAGCUUUCCCAAUCUGAGAUUCUAUAUAGAUCUCGCACUCCACCUCUUAUCUUCACUAAAACUUAUUCCCUCCUCACGUCAGCCAGUUGCCUUCUUUCUUACUCUCACGCGCCUCCUCUAGCGAACGAGCGAAGUAAUCUCCAGUCAUCGGAGAAGGAAUCCAAGGCGAAACGCCGCUAUUUGGAGAAGGAUAAAGGACAGAGCUCGAUUGAGAGGAUCGUUCUCCGUCUACGGAACUUAGGAUUAGCAGCUUCUGACGACGACGAGGAGGACGAUGCGGAGGAUAACGAGGAGGAGGAUGUGAAGAAGCCGGUGACUGAAGAAGAGAGGUUAGGCGAUUUGCUGAAGAGAGAGUGGGUGAGGCCUGAUGUGAUACUCGCUGAGGGAGAAGAGAGUGAUGAUGAGGAGGACGAUGAUGUGUUGUUGCCAUAGGAGAAGAACAAGGAAGAACAGGCGGCAGAGAGUAAUGAAGGAGAUGGAGGAUUGUCGGCGGUGAAGAAGAGGAGCUUCGUCGUUGUCGGAGCUUACGAUUGAGGAUUUUGGGCUACGGAGGCUGAGGAGAGACGGGAUGUAUCUGAGGGUGAGGAUUAAUAUACCUAAAGCUGGCCUCACGCAGGCGGUGAUGGAGAAGAUUCAUGAUACUUGGAGGAAAGAGGAGCUUGUGAGGCUUAAGUUCCAUGAGGUGCUUGCUCGUGAUAUGAAGACCGGCUCAUGAGAUUGUUGAGGUAUGUUUCAAUUGAUUACUGGUUGAAAAAAGAUCUCUUUAUUGCGUGCAGGACGUUAGUUGAAUUUGAGGUGUGAAAUUUGAAAUUAGAUAGCUAAUAUAUAGGGACAAUAACCACUUAAUCUCAAGUUAGUUCUGCAAUAGAAUGGUCUUAGUAAUGAUCAUUCAAGUUAGUUCUCUCUUAGUCUUGAAUGAUCUUGAACAAUAAUUACCUAAUCUCAUUACCUAAUCUCAACUUAGUUCUGAAACUUAGUAGUUCUCUUUCUUAGUAACAGUAAUGCAGUUUUGUAUAGGAGAUGGAGCUGAGCAUGGCUGUUAAAUAGUAACAAGUUGAUGCAAAAAAAAAUUGUUUUGUUGGGAACUGAUUGGAUUUACUCUUGAUGGGCAGCGUCGAACUGGUGGAAUGGUGAUAUGGAGAGCAGGAAGUGUAAUGGUGGUUUACCGUGGACGUGACUAUCAAGGACCUUCUGCAGUCUUUAAUCAAAUGGCCAGACCUGAAGAACACUAUCAAGGACCUUCAGCAGGAAGUGUGCUGGUGUAUUCUUAUGUAACAGUAGAUGAUUUGAUGCGUUUCUUUAGUGUCAUUUCAUGAUAUCUUUAGAUAUGAAGAUAGGUUGGUUGAUGUUCUUGAAAACAUGGCGUUUUAAGGUGUAUUGGUUUGAGUUUUUGCAGCUGAUGAGAGAAGAUGAGGCAACCCUUGGUAAAAUAACUAAGCCUAGGCGUCCCAAGACUGUUGUUCUGUGUCCCACCAGAGAACUCUCUGAGCAGGUUCUUCUACUUCUACUGCUUUUAUUUUCUCUCUUUACCAAGAUUAGUUGCUGCUCUAGGACAUCGUAAAUUUGGAUUCCAUGUUUGAGUUGAAACAAAUUUGAACUUGUGAAAAAAAAAAUAAAAAAAAUAUGAACUUGUGGUUGCUGGGUAAAAUGUAAAAGUUGGAAUAUUUAUUUUCUAGAAAGUUUUGGUUGCCUUCUUAUAGGAUGACCAUAACACUGGAGAUCAUGAGGCAUAUGCCUGAGCAUCCCAACGUUGUUACCUUGAGGGAGACUUAUGAGGAUGAGCAUGCUGUGCAUUUGGGUAUGGAGCUUUGUGAAGGUGUUGAGUUGUUUGAUAGGAAUGUGGCGAGAGGGCAUUACACUGAGAGAGCUGCUGCUGUUGUCACUAAGACCAUCAUGGCAGUUGUUCAGGUUCGUCACGGUUUUGCUCUUUGUUUAUCUCCAGAUUGGUCUAUAGAUGUUCUAUGUCUUAGUUUAAGCUCGUGUGCUGCUCCUUCUUCCUCUUCCCUUGCCGUAAAACCCUUCAAAGGUUUCCAUUUGGACCUGUUUUUGAUUGUCCUUAAUGCUAUGCUACACUAGGAUUAGGCCACUUAAUCUCUUUGCUGCAGUCAGAAAAUGGAAAUUGUGGGUUCAUGCCAUGUAUAUACAGAGUUUGGGUGAUGUUCGCAUUUGAUGAUUCUGAUUCUGAUUUGAUUUGUGUUUUAAUUGAUAAAGACAGUUGCUUGCUCUUUUAUGAAUCUGUCCGUAAUUGUUUUAUUUACUAUGCUACACUAGGGCUAGGCUACUAAAUCUCUAUGCUGCACUCACAAAAUGGAAACCGUGGGUUCUUGCCAUGAAUAUUGAGAUUUUGGUGGUGUUUGCUCUAAUUUCAUUUGUAUUAAGCAGUCAUUUUGCAUGUGAUGCAUAAUAGACUUGCUUCUUAGAGGAUUUUUUUGUUUUGAUUUAUUUAUAAUAUAGCUGUUUGCUCUUCUCUGGAUAUGUUUUUAAUUUUUUGUUGUUGUUGUUGUUGUUGUUGUGUGUAUAGGGAUGAGCUGGGUCGCUUUGUUUCUAAUAAAGGCAAUGAAUCGGUUCUCAAGAACUUUUGGCAUCAUACAGAUGCUAUCAUCUGCUGCUCAAUGAAGGUACUAACUUAAACAUCAAACACUCAAUGAAUGUUUUAUUAUUCACUGAUCCUCUUUUAACCUUUUUUUGUUUAGGCCAUGCCAGUCUUCAUAUUUGCAAACCAGGCGGGGCUAGACAUGCUUGAGACAACAUUGGUUUCUCUUCAAGAUAUCUCUUUAGAGAAGAUAUUUGAUGACAAUGGAAGGAAGACUCUCUGCUCUGAGUUCCCACAGAUCAUGCAACAGGUUUUUUAACAACGUUCUGGUCUGAUUCGUGUAUGUAGUUUGAUAUCUGACUUUAACAUGAUUUUUUUGGUUUAGGGCUUUGCGAGUCUUCAAGGUGGGAUAUGUCUAUCAAGCAUGGGGAGACCAGUUUCAUACGAGAGAGCAGUUGCUUGGAAAGUACUCAAUGAAGAAGAGAAUGCUCAUUGUAUCUGCUUUGUGUUCAUCAACUGGUCCUUUGUUUGAUACUUCAAAAAUAAUCGGUUUUAAAGAUUUCUAAUUCAUGUAAUAUUAAAAAUUCAAAAUUUGUUUAUUACAGUUAAUAUUUUACCAUUAGAUAUAUUAAAAUAAUAUUCUAGAUCGAUAUUCAAUUGUCAGUUUUCAACUAUUACACGUAAAAAAUAUUAUUAAGUACAUUUUUUUUGAUAAGGGGGUUUUAUAUUUUAAGUAGGUUAUUGGAAUACUUUUUCUUUUCGUGAAUUUAUUCGAUAUGAGAUUUCGAUCUCUUAAACUAAGAUAAUUUAUGUUCUAUACAUAAUUAUAUUUUUUACGUAACUCUAAAAUCUCAGACUUGAUUCUUUAUAUUUUAUUAGUUAAUUGUGUUACAUAUAAUAGAAAUACUUACUUCAAACUUAAAAUAUAAAAAAAAAUCAAAUUUAAAAUUAGUUAUAUAUAAUUUAAUAUAUAAAAAUUCACAUACAAAUAAAAAUGAUAAAUGUAAUAAAUUUGAAUAUAUUAUCCGCGCGUAGCGCGGAAAAAAGAUCUAGUAUAUUGAAUAACUCUAUAAUCUUAUUGUCUAAGCUUCUUAUUCGUCAUUAUUAAUAUAUAGUGAUAUUUUGAGUUUGAUACAUAAAUUAUAAUCUGAAAUUAUUAAAUAUACGAUUUCUUUUAAUAAAGCUUUAUAAUUUCUACAAUUUGUAUACAAUACAUUUUAAAUUUUAUAUAGUUAUACUGCAUACGGAUAUUUGUUUAUUAUCUAUCUAUCUAUCUAUCUAUCUAUAUAUAUAAAAUAUUGUUUGCUUCACUCUCAUGCUGCCACGUCAUCGCCACGUAGAUAAGUCGAAGGCUCCUGUCUUGACACGUGUCUCACAUCCUCGAAACGCAACACUUCGUUAACUCUCGGAAAUUUGGUUAGUUAAGAUUUGAUAGAAACAAUUGCUUUGGGCUUAAAAGCAUAAGUCAAGUGGACUUCUGAUACAAUUAUCGGGCCCCAUUAUAAUUGUCUUCACCUUCACAACUUUGACGAAGAAAAGCAGUCAUGAAUUUCCGCUAUUGUUGAGCUCAUGUUUGUCAAACGGAAUAUGGAGCUCCAGCUGGGUUAAGAGGGAAAAUCAUUUCCGGCGAAUCUCUGGUGGAAGGCUCCGUUGUGGUGCAUAACUUUUCACCUACUUUAAAAAACUGACACCUUUACGAAUCUUCUCGGCAUUCAAUCAUUCACAUCAAUGUUCCAAUUAACUCCAUUUCCCCACUCCUUCCACGAUUUCUCAUUCAUUGCAUUCCCCCUAUCUCACAGUCGGUGAAUUUGUAGCUAUAAAUAUAUGAGUUUUUUUCCCAAAAAUUCAUCAUCUCAUUUCUCAGACAAAAACCUUUCGCCAGAGUAUAACGACGUACUCCUCUCUCCUACUUGAUGACAUGAUGUUCGGGCUCUACUGUAACACAACUUUCGAACUACCUCUGAAAUACGGCAGCUGAGAUUUUUGGAUGGCGCUCGAGAGAGAGAAGCCGCAAGCUUAUGGGUGUCUGACAUGCUGGUCCUCCCACAAAUUAAUUCCAGCUAACAGAAAAUCAAACAUUUGAGAUUUUUUUAAUAGUUCAGUAUUACCAUGAUAGAUAUGAUCUCAGAGCCAAAGCCUUCCAAAAGUCUUCCCAGGUACAGCAAAAGAAAAGAAAAAAUUCAUUAGUUGCUGCUAGAACAAAACAGAGUAAUUUAAUAAUAAAGAAACAAGCUAUACCACUGGCAAUUGUAUCAAGACCCAUAUUGGAUAGAGAACCGAACACAUAGUACUAUUUAUAGCUAAGGGCAUCUCCAAUGGAACUUUAUUUUUUCUCUAUAAUUUACACAAAAAUAAAGUAACUCUAUUAUAGUGUAACUUUUGCUCCAAUGGUGUUACUCUAUAAUAGAGUUACUCUAUUACUCAAUUAUAGAGUAGAAUAUAGAGGAAUGUCAUAUUUUACUCUAUAUUUGGAAUGAAAAAGUGACAUUCCUCUAUAUUUCACUCUAUAAUAGAGUAACUCUAUUAUAGAGUAACACCAUUGGAGCAAAAGUUAAACUAUAAUAGAGUUACUCUAUUUUUGUGUAAAUUAUAGAGGAAAAAAUAGAGUUCCUUUGGAGAUACAAAAGAAGCUAUGGUCAGUCACACCUUUCUACAAAUGAUAGAAAAGGUUGAAAUUUUUCAUUGACUUACGGUGAAUCUGACAUAAAUAAAAAAUUUUAAGAACAGAGAUUGAGCUGUCUCUUUGAUAACUUGAGACAGAUCCAUCAUGCUCGAUUGUCUGGAACCCAUUCGGUACCAACAUCCCGUGUGUAUGAAAGGUCAUCACAGAUCAUUCUUGGCCCCUUUUGUAUCACUCUUCAUUUGAUCCUUAUCUCUACAUUAAAUCUAAUGUAUAAAUAUCUCCUCUUAUAUAUCAAAGCUUCAAGCUUUUCACAUACUGAUGAACUAAAAUGAUAACUCCUUUUGACUUUCUUCUCGGUUUAGAGGAUCUAGAAACUGAGUUUUUUAUGAAGAAGCUUGAAUGAGAACGGCUUAAGAGAGGCUGUCUUAUUGAGAAAGUAAAGGCAUUUGGGUGUAUAUGGCUGCAGUGUAGUGGUCAGUGGCUGGAGAGCUGGAGAGGCGAGAGGAGAUACUUCGUCAGAUAGUUUUUUUUAUGAUGACAAUUGUUAGGGUCAUGGCAUUAACCAAAUUUAGCCAAAAUAAAACUUCUUUUUAUAUAAUGGAUAAUUUAGUAUGUAUAUUUAUUUUCUAAUACUGAAAAUAUGAAAUAUGUAACUAAAAAGAGUUAUGCAAAUUUUGAGAAAACAUAUGGGUAACUAAUAAAUAUUAUUUUAUCAUAUGUUGGAGGAUUCAUUUUCUACUCAUUUUUCAAAGACCAGCUAUAUUUUUUGGAUAUUUAUCAUGUUUGGAUAGUGAUUCAACACCAUUAAUUACCUGGUUUUAAUUUGUGAAGUGAUAUAAUUAAAAUAAAAUAGUAAAUUUGUAGUAAAAUAGUGAAAUUGUAAUUAAAAAUAAACAAAAAUUUCAUCAAAAUUAAAUUAAAUUUAUAUUAUUUCGUUUAUUGGCUUAUUGCUGACCGCCCGUCCGACCAUAGUAAUUUAUAUUUUCAUGUUGUGUUAUUUUUUUUUUGUCAACGUUUCAUUUCAUUGAAAUGAAACACAAAGGCCUUACAUGGAUCAGGUUUAUACAAUGAAAGCCCAAACAAAGAUUCAAUUGAAAUUAAAAACACGGCCCAUGCCGAAGUCGGCAACAUGAUUAUCAUUCUCUCCACGCGUCACUUAUGGAAUGUCGUAGAACAUAUGGAUGAACACGUGUCCUUCAUGCCCGAGGGUGGUACUCCGGUGACGUUGAGGUUGUCGACACUAUGAACUCCUCCGCAAUUGCUUGUAUCUUUGUCUUCCCCAAACUUCCCGAUCACAUCUAGCUCCAAUCCUCCACUAAAACCGCCAUUUACAGCCACAAUUUCUUUAUCUUCGACUGAUAAAUGCUGAGGAAAGCUCGAUUUUGAUAAAAACAAAACUUUUUAUCGGACCAUCAGAGAUGCCGAUUCUACUAAGUUUCGAAACACAUAUUACUUUGCAUCAAGGAGAAUUUAUGUCAUCUAGUGGCUCACAAUAAGUGAGAGCAAAAAUUGACACCAAUAAACAAAGUAUAUGAGGAUAAUCAAAAGAAGAAAAUACCCGACAUGAAACUAACGGGAUUUAAUUGACUUUGUAAAGGAGGGGAUGAGCUUUUUAAAUUAAAAUCAAACCAUUAUCAAAGAUAAAAUUCUUCAAUUUGACAAUCAGCAUUGAAAUAGUUUGAAAAGACACCACAAAAUCACCUAAGAGAAGAGUAAUCUGCAAUCAGAACAAAAAGAUUGAUCUGAUGAUCGAAGAUUUAGACAAGCAUAACGAUAAUUUUCAUCCCUAUGAAAGAUAUUGAUGAGUUAAGAGGGAUGAAUAGAGAAAAUUUCUCUCUCUCUCCAUGUUGUAUUCAAAAAUAAUACUUUAACAUCUAUCACUUUAGUAUUUUGCAAAAUUUUAUAAGUAGAUACAUUGUUAUAUUUAAAUAAUAUAGCUUUGUUGUUUUAGUAAAUUGUAUACAUAGUAGUAUCUAUCAUACUUUUUUAUUAAUAUAUGAUUUUUUUUAAUGCUACAGCAUUAAGUUUUUUGAUUUUUUUUAUUAUUAAAUUGAGAUUUCAGAAUACUAUAUUACUUUCGAUUUUACAACCUAACUUUUUGUGUUACAUUUCAAAGAAUUAUAUUUUAGCAUCUAUGAUUUUACGUUUUAUAAAAUUUGAAAUAUUAUCAUUUUGAGUUUUCAAUAUUUAUUUUUAAAAUUGUAUACUUGGUCAAGAGAAAUUUAGAAAAUUACACAAUUAUUUUUUUAAUUUGGAACAUUAUAUUUUUUUUUGAAGAUUUCUUACUAAAUUAAUUCAAUAUUUUAUUAAAAAUAUAUUUGAACUCUUCUUAGAUUUUGUAUAUUUUUCUCAACAUAUUUUGUUAUAAUUAAAAGAAACAUUAAAUUUAUAAGAAAAAUUGAUUUGUCAUUAAUAUUUUUAGUUAAUUAUUAAAAUUUCAAAAAAUUCUAGUAACAUAUUCUGUAAAAUAAGAAAUGAACUAAAGCUUAGAUAUAUACUAUUAUUUUGUAUAUAAUUAUGAGAAAUUAUUAGAAAUACCACAAGUGAAGUGCCACUUUUCAAAAAUACCACCAAUAAAAAAUUAUACUAACAUUUGGGUUUAUGCUUUAGUAAUUAUUGUUUAGGGUUUAGUAUUAAGGGGUUAAGGUUGUGUCGAUAAAUGUUCUAUAAAUAUUUUAAAAAAUUAGCUUAGUGUUAUUUUACAAAGGGGAAUUGCCACUAAUACCACUUUUCUAAUACCACUUUUCAACUUUACACUAACCAAUUUUACCAUUAAAAUUUUAAUAGGUAAAAUACCAUUAUACCCCUAAUUAAUUAAACCUAAAACUAUUCUCUUCUUCCCCAAAGAUUUCUUCAAAUCUCAGAUCCAAAAUGAACGAUACAUGUAAUCAAAUCCGACGAAUCAGACGAUGUUGACGAGUUCUCCGGCGCUGAGGAGUUCUCCGGCAAAAUUUCUGACUAGUUAUACGGCAAGAUCCGACGACGCUGCUGAUGAGCUCAAACGAACAAGACGAGUUCUCGGCGAGAUUUACGAACACUGAAGAGUUUCCGACGAGAUCUGACGACGAGUUUUCCGGCGAGAUCUAACGAAGACGAGUUCUCUGAUGAAGCUGACAGGCUCUACAAGCUCAGACGAACGAGACGAUCUCUUUCCCNNNNNNNNNNNNNNNNNNNNNNNNNNNNNNNNNNNNNNNNNNNNNNNUCCCUACACCUAAGAAACGCUAACAAAGGUAAGAGGAUAAUAGAUGGUGAUUUUCGUCUCUUUCUGUAAUUGUAGGUUGGUUUAUCAAAAUCGAUCUGUUUCUCGAAAGGAAAACGAAAUUUUUCUCAUGAAGUUUUCAAAUCUCAAAUUUAUAAGACCUUAUAAAUUGAGUCCUUUCGAAUCUUACUGUUGAUUUGUUAGCAAUCAAAAGACAUAGAGCUUAACAUAUAUUUAAUUACUAACGUAAGAGUAAUAUUAUUCCAUGAUUACUUCUUCUUUUGGUUGAUCUGGUAAUGUUGCAGGGAAUUACAAAGGUGUGCUGUGAGCUUUUAGAUUUAAAGGAUGCUGUGGAGAAUAUAUGUGGUGAUAUGCAUAUCAAGUACCUCACUUUCUUGAGGUAAUACAAUGCUACUAUUUGUAGUUUGACUAGCAAAGUUUAGUAUGUGCAAUAUAUGAGGUAGAAGGUUGGUAUUUUGAUGUAACGUUAUGUUUGGUACUUUAUGAGAUUCAUUUUUAUGUCUUGUUUUGUGUAUAAUAUCUAAAGAAGCAGUGGAGAUGGAGAUGAGUUUGUUGAGUUACGAAAGCAUAUUAUUUUUGAAUCUUGUUUUUGGAAGUGAGCUAGUGCUGAUGCGUAGGAAUAAUAUGUGAUUGGCUUGCGUUCAGAUUUUGAAGAUCGACCAGGUUGGUGAGCUGUUUGAAGAAGUAAGAGGGACUCUGAACUAGAACGUGGUUUGUGCGAUCAAAGAAUUACAUAUUUAUAACACUUUAUAAAAGUUGCAGAGUUGGCUUGGUAAUACAUUCUUCUCUCUCAUCUUCUUCAGACAUCUCUUAAUUAGGAUGUUGUCGCAUCCAAGGGCUCAAACCAUACUUGUAGAUGGAGCUUUUAGGGAGGGCGAGCCGCUGAUUCCACUUCCUUCAUUUAAGAUCUUGGUGCUUCUCACAUUCUCUUCUCCAUCCACAGGAGUUAAGGUAAGUAGUAGUAUUUAUAAAACUAAACCAUGAAAUGAGCUUGUUUGAUUCUAAUCACAAGCAUGGUCUCUGUACAGUCUACAUAGAGGGUUGAGACAGUAUAUCCCUUGCUGAAGGACGUGGCUCUUUCACCAGAUAUGUCUUUUUGUGUUAAUUGUCUUUUUGAGGGACUUUAGAAAACUUAACUUGUAACCCAUUAUAAAUCAGUUUAUAAACGUUUAUAAAUCAUUUUUGAGUUCCUUAUACUUAUUCUGCCUAGCAUUCCUCACAAGACUUCUCAAGUUCACACAUUUAUAUGUUUUAAUAGACAUAUCCGAUCAACUCUUGUUUAAAAACUUCUUUAUAAAGACUUAUAAAUCGUAGUUUCACAAAAAAAAAAGAAAAAAAAAAGAGACUUAUAAAUCGUCAAGUUGUACUUUUAAUAAUAUCCUGAAAUCCAGAUUUAUAAAGAAUUAUAAUUAAUGCAGUGUUCACUAUCCGAAAAUCUUAAUCUUAACCAGAAUUAUUCAAAUAACAAGUCCAACUAAGCCUUAUUUGCUUUUUGGAUAACAGAAGGAAGAAAAUCCUAAAAUUACUUGAACUCUUAUUUAAAAACUUUUUUAUAAAGACUUAUAAAUCGUCGAGUUGUACUUUUGAAAAUAUCCUGAAAUCCAGAUUUAUAUUUUAUAAAGGUCUAAAAAAUUUGAACAAAUUUAACUUUUAGUAAAUAACUGCAUGACUAAUGUUGUAGAGAGAAACUCACACACAUUCAAAGACUGAAUUGAACAACAUUAAAGAGUUGACGAAGUCGGUUGUUUAGAACAUAUUCAUAUAAAUUGUUUUUAUAAAUAUUUUAUAAACUCUUAUAAAUUAUUUACAUACCUUUAUAAACCCUAGAAAAUUAUUUUAUUAACUCUUAUAACUUGUUUAAUAAGCUUUUCUAAAUGGUUAUAGACUCUUAUAAUUGAUUUAAGAUCUCCAAUUGAUUUCUAAACCUGUAUAUACCUCUAUAAACCUUAUAAAUUAUAUACAUACCCCUUAUAAAUGAUUUAUAAACUUUUAUAAUUUUUUUAAUAAACAUUUAUAAAUUGUUUAUAUACUUUAUAAAUUGUUUUAUAAGCCUUUAUAGAUGGUUUAUAGACUCUUACAAAUAAUUUGUAAACCUUUAUAAAAGGUUUAUAAUAUUUAUAAAUUGUUUUUAAUAAAAUUUUAUAAAUGAUUUAUAAACUCUUAUUAAUUAUUUAUAUAUCCUUAUAAAUAUUAUUUUACAAGUCUUUAUAAAUUGUUAUAGCCUCUUAUAAAUGAUUUCAUAGACUUUCUAUGUGAUUCAUAAACCAAUAAACCUUAUAAAUUGUAUGCAUAUCCCUUAUAAAUUGUUUAUAAACUUUCAUAACAUUUUUAUAAACAAUUAUAAAUGGUUUAUAGACUUUAUUAAUUGUUUUAUAAACCUUUAUAAAAAGAUUAUAAACUUUGCAAAUUGUUUUAUAAACUUUUAUAAAUGAUUUAUAAACUCUUAUUUGCUUUUCAUCUCUCCUUUGCUCUUUAUUUUUAUCUUCUUUCAUGUGUUAUUGCCUUAUAUCAUACGUUGCAAAAUGUAAAUUCACAAAUCCUUGUUCCCAUUAGCUUUUCUUCAUUUUAUAUCCUUGUUGAACCGUCAAGAUCCAUGUUAUCAAGAUCAGGAGGUGUUGGGUUCACGAAAUGUUUGUAUUCCUCAGGGAAUCCAAACACUGUAUUAACCACAAGAUGUAACAAAGAAUAAACAACGUUUUAUAAGUCUCUACAAAUCUCUAAUUUAUAAUUUAAUAAACUCCUAUAAAACUACAUUUAUAAUCUUUUAUAAACACUUCACAUUAUUGCAAAGACACCGAUUGGAUAAUCACUUUUGAAUUGUCUACUGGUUCUGUUCCAGCUUCAUAAAUCCUCAGAGGCAAUCUCAAAGAUGUGCAAUUCAUUGCUAUCUAGCUGCAAGACGAAAUAAAAAAUGAUGUUAACUUUUAAUCAUGGUCUAAAAAUACCUUAUCCAAUCAUAAUGUUUAUAUAUUUCGAUAACAACCUUACAAAGAAUAUAUGAUAACAAAAGACGAGACUUUUCAAAUUCACACAUUUAUAUGUUUUUUAUAGACAUAUAUGAUUAACUCCUGUUUACAACCUUUAAUUAUAAAAUCUUGUAUUGCAUUGAGUUGUACUAUCGACAAUAUCCUAAACCCAAGAUUUAUAAGAGGUUAUAAUUCUUUAAAAUGCAAUGUUCACUAUCCGAAAAUCUUUCUCCUAACAAGAACUAUUCAAAUGACAAGUCUAAAUCAACCUUAUUUGUUUUUUGGAUAAUAGAGGAACGAAAAUCCUAAAAUUACUUGAACCCAGAUUUAUAAUGGUUUAUAAUUUUUCAAAAAUUCAAUGUUUACUAUUGAAACUCUUUCCCUUAGAUCGACAUGUUCUAAACCUACCUUCGUUGACUUUCUUCGAACAAAAAAAAAUACCUAAGUAGCUGCUUCCACCUCAUCUGGUUCCCUUGACCAUCUCAAUCCACAAUACUCGCCUGCUGCAACUUGCGUCUUCUUCGACGUAGCAAGAACUUUCUCCAAAUCCAACUGUGACAAUGCCCUAGGUACCUGACAAACAAAAUGAUAGCAACUCACAACAUCAACACUUGCAAAUUUGGUGACUGCAACAGCAUUGGACAUUUUCAUAUGAAACUUAGAGGACAUGGUCUCCAUUUUCUCUCUUCCUCUAGGAUUUCUCUGAUAGGGAAGUAAGCUGCUUUCUUGCAGAGCUCAAAGAUGUCUGAUCCGGUGUAGCCUCCGCAUAGACGAGCUAAGUGAUCGUAGUCAAUAUCGGGCUCCACCCUCUCUCCCUUCAGCGUCACUUUCAAUAUCUCAGCUCUCUCCUUACGUUCAGGCAUUCCAAUCUCAAAGGCUUGAGGAAGACGCCUCAUUAUUGGUUCAUCAAACUCUGAUGAUCUGUUUGUUGCAGCAAGUACCAUCACCCUCGCAUUCGCUACGAAGCAACCAUUAUACUCAUUUAAAAACUACUGUAUCCAAGUAGAGCAUGCUCUAGACUGCACUAGAGUGAUCUGAAAGGUGAAUGAUUCAACUUACGAUCAGUAGAAAACCCAUCCCAUAAAGCCAUAAACUUAGUCUUCAUGUUUGCCAUGGCUUCGUGAUCUAUGACUUUUGUACCUGUGACUUUUGUUUCAUGCAUCUUUUUCUUCACUUAUAAAUCAUUGAGUUGUAUUUAUCAACAAUCUCAUGAAACCCAGAUUUAUAAGGGGUUAUAAUUCUUUAAUAUUCAGUUUUCACUAUCGUAACUUAUCUCUUCCUUAAUAUGCAGUUUUCACUAUCGGAAAAUCUAUUUCUUAGCUGAAACCAUUCAGAUCAAUCUUAAUAUGACUUCAAAACCAGAUUUAAGUUUUCAAAUACUCAAUGUUUUCACUCUCAACGUUUCACUAUGAAAUCAGUUUCUCUUAGAUCGACCUCUUUAAAUGAGAUAUCUAAGAGAACCUUGUUUGAUUUUUCGAUAAGAGAAAGCACAAAAUCGAAUCAAACAAAAAAAUACAGAAAUUAGAGAACAAACAAAUACAGAAAUUAGAGACAUACAAGUUGUGAAUCACGUAUAGGAGUCGACAUCUUGGAGAUUUUGAAUCGAUUUCGUCGCCGGAAGUCUACGGUGAGAGAGACACGCCGGAACUAGACGGUGAGAGAGAGACGCUAGAAGGAGAGAGAGACGACGGUGACUCGACGGUGAGAGAGAGACGACGGGGACUCGGGAAGAGGGAGAGAAACCGAUGGUGGAGAAGAAGAUAAGGUAAGGGUAUUAUUAUCUUUUGCUCACUAAUGAAAGUGGUAUUUCUGAAAAUGUCCUUAGACUUAUGGUAAAGUUGAAAAGUGGUAUCCAACAAAGUGUAAAAGUAAAAUUUCCCCUUUUACAAAUGUAAGGUAUUUGUGAAAAUAAUCAUUAAUUAAUGGUAAAUUUGAAAAGUGGUAUCAAACUUGUGGUAGAAUUGAAAUUUCCUCAAUGAUGCAUAGAUAAUAUAUUGUUGCGAGUUUCCAAACAAAUUAGACGAUAAUAUAUAGUCAUGGAUAUAAAAGUUUAACAAAUGUCAAUAAUUUUAGUUUUGUAUAAAAUAUUACAUAGUUUACGAAUUUUAACCCAUUUUGACGAUGAAUGAUAAUUUAUUUAAAUGAAACUGUUUUUUCUUUCUUAAAAAAAUCUGUUAAUACCAAUUUAGUAUAUUGUUUCAUAUUUAAUUUAUAAAGCACAUCUAUUUUAAUAUAAUAUAGACUUUAAUUCUAAAAUUCAUAAAAUAGCAUAGAAUUUUUAUUUUCUGUUGUGUGUGAUAAAUUUCAAUUAUCAUUAUUUUAAUAAGAUUACAUUACUAAUUACGAAAUUAUAAUGCACUAUUUUUAAAAAGAAUAACAAAACGUUUGGUAGGAUUUUGUUAGAUUUUUUCUCAACAGAUUUUGUUAUAACAAAAAAUAAAAUUCCAAUUUCUAACUAAAAUUGAUUUAUUAUUAAUAUAUUUAUUGAUUAUUAAAAUUUAGUGUAAAUAAUUAAAUAUGUCACAUUAAGUAGUUAAUCAGAUGGUCCUACUAUAACUUGUCAAUGGUAGAUAAAAUACGAGACUCUAAAUUAAUUGAGUAGAUUCUGUAUAGUUGCAAAUACAUAGAGGUGAAAUUUCUAUGAAUAUUAUUUUUCGCUGAUCUACAGGGACACAUAAAGUUUUACAACAAAGUAUAAAUUGUAUUUUCCAACCGAUCUAUAAAUAGAUGGAGAUAAUAUAAAUAUAUAGUUAUUAUUUCGUUUUUAAGAAAAUCUUAUUUUAUUUUACAGUUUCAUAUUAAAAAAGUAUUAAAGAGAAAUUAUUGGAAAAAACAAAUAUAUAUAUAUAUAUAUUUAUUUAUUUAUUUAUUUUCCGUUCUACACACGAGGUGGUGGCCCUUUUAUUGGUGGUAGUGGUGGACCGCAUAUAUUAUUGUAGCAGUGGCAAUAGUGUUUAUUGUCCUUAACAGCACACGUACCAAAGUAAAAUCCAGUUUUUGGGCCUGACUCCUUGCAAAGACGCAAACAUUCAGCAUCACGGUUUGGUUUAUGACACAUAUCCGGCGGUGCAUUUUCGAGUGGAAUUCCACGACAACGGCGCUCGAAAUCCUUAGCAGCAUUAGCAUUUAUUUUUUCUGUUGAAAUAGUGACUUUAAGUGAGAAUAGAAGUUGACAAAAAAAAAAAGAGAAUACAUAAAAUUUUAUAAAUCGCAAAACCAUAAACCAUUCACAACACUUAUAUAUGUGUUAUAUAAAUUACCUGUCAAAAUUAACAAAGGUAUCAUAAGAAUAAUAGAGAAGGAAACUACUUUUUCUCUUUUAUACAUGCUUUUUUUCUCUUCGUUUAUGAUUUUUUUUUAAUUAAUUGAAUGUUCUAUGUACCUCAUUGUCAAAUUAAGGUAUAUAGAGUGUUUUCAAUUCUUAAAAUAGGAAUAAGUAAAAACGGCAAACAAGGAGAAAAACUGAAAUUUAAUGAAUACCACAUAACUGAAGUAAACCUUUAAUAUCGUAUUCACUAAAAUUGGGUUAUGGCUUAUAAGUCUACGGCUGAUUCAACCAUAACUUUUGGAAACUUUGCUAAAAAAAAAAGAUAACUUAUCCCCCUAUAUAUUAAUAGAGAAUCAUUUAAAAAGUUAUAACCUUUAGUUUGUAUUAAUUAAAAAAGUAUCAUGCUGAGUUGUCACGUAAGUAAAAUGUUAAUUUUGCUAACGUGGUGGCUUGAGAAUCAAUAGAGAAUUUUGUUAGUCCAAAAUUAAAUUGCUAGGGAAUCCCCUAUAUAUUAAUCUUGGAGCAUUACAACAUAUUUUCGUAGCCACGUGUCAUCACGAGAAUAAUUCUUAGAAUUGUUAGAAAAAUAAGUUGGUCCAUAUAAACAUAUACUAUGAUUUUUAUUAAAAUAACUAUCAAAUUAAUUAGUAGUGUACAAAAGAAUAUUUUUUCUUUCUUUAAAUAAAAUCUACAUAAUAACCUAAUAUGGUUAACAUAUAUAUGAUAAUUAAUUAUUAUGAAAAAUACAUAUUUGACAACAAUUUUUCUAACCCCUCUCUUUUCUGUUUAAUUUUAUACUAUUAAAAGAAAUUAAACAAUCACGUUAAGCACAAAAUUAAAAAAUUUAGAUUUUUUCUUAUAGGUUAUAUUUCGAAUUUUUAAAAAUGACUAUACAAUAUUAAAAAUGGUAAAAGUCCCACAUUGAAAAUUUUGUGAUCAAUGGUUUAACUUUUAUAUUGUUCAAGCAAGAUACAAAUGAUGAUCAUAUAUCGUAGGGGUUGGCGUUCGGUUACACGUUUGGGUUCGUAUCUGGUAUUUUAGUAUAAAAGCAUAAAGCCCAUUCGGAUAUUUCUACACUUCGAGUCGGGUUCAUGUAUUUAAUGUUCAGGUUUGGUAAUUUUGGGCCGGGUUUGGAUAUUUAAAUUUUGAAGAAAAAAUAAAUAAAUUGUUUAAGUUUUUUUGUAUAUAAAAUAUUUUAACUUGUUUUCUAAUUUUUAAAAAUUUAAACUAUUAAUAGGUCUAGAGAUAAAACUUUUAAAAUAAAAAGACACUAAUUUCGUUGUUGGUUUGAAAUUUUAGAUGCAAAUUUUAUUAAUGCAAGAAACAAGAGCUUGAUAUAUAUUUUAAUUGAGUAGCAAAUAAUUUUGUCCAUAAUUAUAUGUAUAUUAUCUAAUUUUUAGAAAUAAGCAUCAUUAAUAUAAAUAUUUUGAAUAAAAUGAGAGAAGUAAGCUAGAAAUAUAGGGUUAAGUAUACUUAUGUUUGGUUAUCUUCAGAUAUCCAUUCGGAUUUGGAUAUUACCCGUAUGGAUUCAAAUAUUACCCGAACUAGUUAAAUAAGUAAUUUUUUUUGUUGUUCUAGAAUUAGAUGAUAUUUAGACCGAGUUGGUGAAUAUAUACUAGACAGACAUUUAUAUUUCGAGUCCGCAUUUAUAUAUUCUAUAACAGCUUGAUAUAUUACACUACAAGAAAAAAUGACCUUACCGACUACAGUAUUAGGUAAUAUUAGUUAAAGAUAGUCCACUAUAUCUCUCUUCUACCAAAGAUACUAGCAUUAUUAAAAAUAAAUUAUUCAACUCUUAUUUAUCAAUGGAUACACAUUAUUAUUUCAUAGGAAUGAGAAAUGUAUAAAACUUCUUGAGUGUUCCUCAACUAGUUUGCCUAUUGAACCUAGCCAUGGGAUCUCCAAUGUUGCUAGGUUAGGUUUCCAUCAAGUGAUGACUCAUUGUGUUGGCUUGAGACCCAUUCCCCUCGAAAUGAAUACAACUUGCUUUUUAGGUAGACCUUUAGUCAAAGGAUCAACUAAUUUUUCCUUUGAUCUAAUGUAAUCCAAUGCUAUCACCCCAUUAGAAAGCAAUUGUCAUGCAUGAGUACGUUUUAUACGUCUUGACUUGCCAUUGUAACUUUUUCUUUCUCGUAAUGAAAUUGAGUAAGUGAAUAUCAUACCAUCUGACUCUUGUUUAACUCUAAUUCCAAGAACUAUAACAGCCAAUCUCAUAUCUUUCAUGAAUAAUGACUUAGAAUUUCUUCCACUUGUUUCACCAUAAAGUUUAAGAACUUUUGCACAGUCAACGUCUUAACGCUUGCAACUUCAGACUUGUAUUUCUUCUUUAAUGAUUCCCACAACUGAUUUGAAGUUUGGAAUAUAUGAUAAACAUCAUAGAGAGAAUCGUUCAAAGUGUUAAGAAUAUAGUUUGUGCACAAAAACUCUUUUUGUGUCCAUAUCUCUGAUGAUUUAAAUAUUUCAUCAGGAAUAUCAUCUUCUACAGGUGACUCUGGUCCUUCAAAAGUCAAACACUGUCCAAGAUUCAGUGUAGUGAGAUAACACAACAUCUUCUGUUGCCAUCUUUUGAAAUUCACUCUUUGGAAUACAAAAGGGUUCUCUAUAUGACUUUUCACAAUUGCAUUAUGAUUGAUCCAUCUUGCUUUCUUUGAAAAGAACAAGGAAAAAAAUAUAUCUUAGAUUGUUAUUCCAAAGUACAAAUGCAAAUCAAUCAUACGUAUGCUUCACACUUGUAGAUCAUUUAUAAACCCUUAUAAAUAUUACUAGAUUUCUAAACCAUUGUAAAUAGUUACAGGAUAUUUAUCUUUCUCCCAUUAUCAUUUCACUGAUUGUAGUUUGAUAGAGGCUUGCUUGCGCAAUCUUGUAAGACAGAAUUUCGCCCCUACAAUGGUGUGGUGUAGUUUCAUAGGCGUCUAUCUUGAGGUUACAGCUAUCAAUUUCCGUACAACACACACAUACCGAGAUCCUAGCAAACUAUGUAAAGUGGGCCUCAACUUUAAUACUUCAAGCCCUUUCCCAGCCCAGCAAUGAAACCUGCACAAAACCAAAGGAACGUUAGUUUCCUUUUGUCAAGAAUGUCGGCCAAUAUUUUUCCAAAGACAAUAGGAAAAUAUACAAAGCUACAGAGGACAAUGAAUACGUGAUCCAGUAUAUAAGAAGGCCAUAGGUGAAGGUUACGAUCAUCCGAUACAAAGCAAAUAACAAAGGCAUAGAGAGAGAUCAAGAGCAUAGCAAAUAAGUUCUUAGAGUUCUUAGUUUGGUUAUCACACUUGUGAUCUCUAUUAUUGUUAUUGUGAAACUUCUUUAAGAUAUUAAAUAAGAAUACGUUUGAUUCAUAAAGUUAUUCCAAAGCACAAGUAGGAUUGAAUUCCUAACAAGUGGUAUCAGAGCAAUCCAGGUUAGAUUGCAGGUGCUUAAGGGAUGGGAAAAACUAGGAUCGAAAUUGAUAGGUUCGAAGGAACCGGAGAUUUCUCGCUGUGGAAAGUUCGUAUGAUGGCUCACUUUGGAGUCCUAGGGCUAAAGGACAUUCUAACUGAUGAGACCCUUCUGUUGGAUCCGCCAAAAGAGGAAGCAGAAGGAGAUACGAAAGUCACAGGAGAUGGAACUACAGAAUCAAGCUCAAAGAUUGAUCCCGCUAAACUUGAAAAGUCGGAGAAGGCCAAAGACCUCAUCAUAGUCAACGUAGGUAACCAAGUUCUACGGAAGAUCAGCCAUUGUGAAACCGCUGCUGCUAUGUGGACCGCAUUAAACACGCUGUACACAGAAACCUCUUUGCCGAAUCGUAUCUACUUACAACAUAAGUUCUACACGUUCAAGAUGAAUGAUUCUAAGGACAUAGAUGCAAACGUUGAUGAUUUUCUAAAGUUAGUAGCAGACCUAAGUAACUUGAACGUGGAUGUCUCAGAAGAAGUUCAAGCUAUCCUGUUACUAAACUCAAUGCCGCGUAUGUAUGAUCAUCUUAAGGAAACUCUCAAAUAUGGCAGAGAUACUCUCAAGAUCAAUGAAGUAACAGGUGCCGCAAGGUCAAAGGAACGAGAGUUACUUGAAAGUGGAAAGCUUUCAAAAUCACAAGAUGAAGGACUAUACGUGGAAGACAGGGGAAGAUCAUCUAAUAAAGGAGGAAACCGAAACGGUAAAGGCAGAUCUAAAAGCAGGCACGGGCGAUCUAAAUCAAAGCCAAGAUACGAUAAGAACAACAAAGGAUGCUGGACAUGCGGGAAGGAAGGACAUUGGAAGCGGGAAUGUCCUGAAAAGAAAACGCAUAGAGCUGCUAAUGUAGCUGAAGAGCCUAAGCAGCCUUUUGUACUAACAGUUAGUACACACGACGCCGGUUCAGAAUGGGUCAUGGAUUCUGGUUGUUCUUUCCAUAUGACACCCAACAAAGACGUUCUAUUUGACCUUGUCGAAUUUCAAAGAGGCAAAGUUUUGAUGGCAAACAACACUCACUGCGACGUCAAAGGGAUUGGCAAGAUAAGGAUCGUGAGACCCGACGGAACCGUGGUUAUUCUUACAGAUGUAAGAUAUAUGCCUAAUAUGAGCAGGAAUCUAAUAUCCUACGGGAUGCUAGAACGAGCAGGUUGCAAAUACGAAGGAGAAAACUUCAUGAUACGUUUCUUCAAAGAUGGGAAAGAGAUUUUAUCCGGUAAGUACCAUGAAGGAUUGUAUUACUUGCAAGGAACAGUUAUGAAAGGGGAGGCUAAUGUGACACGAGCAGACGUGGACAUGACGAAGAUUUGGUACUCCCGGCUAGGGCACAUGAGUUUAAAGAACUUAAAUGUGCUUGUAAAGGAAGGAUACCUGUCUAACAAAGAAGUCGAUAAAUUGGAGUUCUGUGAGACUUGCGUUCUGGGAAAGUCUCACAAGCAAAGCUUCUCUGCGGCCAAGCACACUUAGAAAGAGGUCUUGGAAUACAUACACUCUGAUUUAUGGGGUGCACCGUCUACUCCGGAUAGUCUAGGAGGGUGCAAGUAUUUUAUAAGCUUCAUAGAUGACUAUUCUCGUAAGGUUUGGAUUUACUUCCUAAAAUCCAAAGAUGAGGCGUUUAGCAAGUUUAAAGAAUGGAAGGAAGCCGUGGAAAAUCAGAUCGGGAAGAAAAUCAAGUGUCUUAGAACGGAUAAUGGAUUAGAGUUUUGCAAUAAACAGUUUGACAAACUUUGCAAAGACUCAGGUAUCAAAAGGCACAAGACUUGUCAUUACACACCGCAACAAAACGGUGUGUCUGAAAGGAUGAAUAGGACGAUCAUGGAAAAAGUUAGGUGUAUGCUUGCAGAAGCAGGAUUGGGUCAAGACUUCUGGGCAGAAGCUGCAUCAACGGCUGUCAACAUUAUAAAUCGAUCCCCUAGCUCAGCCAUAGACUACAGACUUCCUGAAGAGAUGUGGACAGGAAAGAAACCUGAGUUGAACCAUCUGAGGCUAUUUGGCUGCUCAGCGUAUGUCCACACGAUCCAAGAGAAAACAAGUCCAAGAGCGUUAAAAGGCAUUUUCAUGGGAUAUCCAUUUGGAGUUAAAGGAUACCGUGUUUGGUUACCCGAGGAAGGCAAAUGCGUUACAAGUAGGAACGUGGUGUUUAAUGAAGAAGAUUUACCUAAACACUCGGAAACUAAAGAGGAACAGAAAGAAAGUAAGAAAGAGAUCAGAAGAGUUACUUUCAGAGAACCUCUAAUCGAAGGGCCUAGUUCCGCAGAUGUAGAUAAGUCACCUGUUCAAGGUGGAGUUUCUGAAACUGAAGAAUCAGAAAAUUCAGAAGAAACCAGUUCUGAAGAAGUAGAUGAAAACACAGAAGUAGAAGAAACCGAAAUCGAAAGAUAUAUGCUCGCACGAGACAGAGUGCGAAGACAAAUCAGACCUCCUUCUAGGUAUGAAGAUACUGAUUUCGCAGCUUAUGCUUUAGCCGCAUCUGAAGAGAUAGAAAUCGACGAGCCAAAGUCAUUUAAAGAAGCUAUGAUGAGCAAGAAAAGCAAGUUUUGGAAGAACGCUGCCGGAGAUGAGAUGGACUCUCUUCAAAGAGCUGGCACAUGGAUACUGAUUGAAAAACCCGAGAAUGCAAAAGUUAUAGGCAGCAAAUGGAUCUUCAAGUUAAAGCCUGGAAUACCCGGAGUUGAAGAACCGAGGUAUAAAGGCAGAUUGGUGGCUCAGGGAUUUUCUCAAAAGGAGGGGAUCGACUACAAUGAAGUGUUUUCACCUGUAGUGAAGCAUGUGUCGAUCAGAUUGAUGUUAUCUCUCGUGGUUAAUAAAGAUUAUGAGCUAGAGCAGAUGGACGUUAAAACAGCUUUUCUUCAUGGAGAUUUGGAAGAAAGAAUCUUAAUGAAUCAGCCAGAAGGAUUCAUAAAGAAAGGAGAUGAAAAUAAAGUCUGUUUACUAAAGAAGUCUUUGUAUGGAUUGAAACAAUCUCCAAGGCAAUGGAAUCUCAAGUUUGAUUGUUUCAUGAAGAGCCAGCGGUUUGUAAGAAGCAAGGAAGAUCCUUGUGUUUACAUGAGAAACGUGAACACAGAACAAGCCGUGUACUUACUUUUAUACGUCGACGACAUGCUCAUAGCUUCGGGAGAUGAACAAGAAAUCAGAAGCGUCAAAGAGAGUUUAAGCAAAGAGUUUGAGAUGAAAGAUUUGGGAAAAGCUUCAAGAAUAUUAGGAAUGGACAUCAUAAGAGACAGAAAGAAAGGAAUUUUAAAACUGUCUCAAGAGAACUAUUUAGAGAAGGUUCUGAAAUCAUUCAAUAUGACUGAAGCCAAGGCUGUGAAUACGCCUACCUCAACUCAAUUUAAACUGAAGAGUCUUACGAAAGAUCAAAAAGAAGAAGAAGGAAGCUUCAUGGCAGACAUACCAUACGCAAGCGUGGUUGGUAGUAUAAUGUACGCCAUGGUCGGUUCAACACCUGACUUAGGCUAUGCAGUUGGACUCAUUAGCCGUUUCAUGUCAGAACCGGGAAGAGAGCAUUGGCUAGCAGCAAAAUGGGUUUUACGAUAUCUUAAGGGUGCUACAAAAAGGUGUCUAACGUUUACUAAGCACUCAGAGUUUAGUAUUCAAGGAUUUUGUGACUCGGAUUAUGCUACUGACCUUGACCGAAGAAGAUCAGUUACAGGAUUCGUGUUUCAAGUUUGGGGAAACACGGUUAGCUGGAAAUCAAGUCUACAAGACGUGGUAGCUCUUUCAACGACUGAAGCAGAGUACAUGGCUCUUACUACAGCCGCGAAAGAAGCUAUAUGGUUAAGAAGGCUAUGUGGGGAGAUGGGAUUUGAACAAGAAAGUGUUAAGAUUCACUGUGAUUCACAAAGUGCUAUAGCCCUAGCAAAGAAUCAUGUUCAUCACGAAAGAACUAAACACAUAGACACUAAAUACCACUUCAUAAGAGACGUUGUAGCAGAAGGCAAGGUUCACCUAUCUAAGAUCCAUACUAGCAAGAUUCCUGCAGAUUUUCUAACUAAAGCCUUACCCGGGCCUAAGUUUGAUCUCUGCUGUGAUCUCCUCAACAUCAACGAGUAAAAACUCAAGAACGUCGCAGGUAACUCCAUUAUCGAAGAUGUCUCGCAAAAGGAAGAAAUAAUGAGUUAAUAACUCCGGAUUAUUUCUUAAGCGAUAAUGGGAAGGUUUAGGAGUAGCAAAAGAUUACCUGCAGGGACGUUGUGGAAGCGAGGCACAUGGUACUUAGCUCAAGGUGGAGAAGCUAAGGGAAAUCAAACAGAGUUAGUAAAGGAUGAUUGAAGUCGAUGAAUAAAAGUAGACUUCGGAAAAAGAUAUACCUGAGAGAACGUCUUAAACGGCUGUGGCAGCUGAAGGGAGACGAGUAUCUACAUUGGCAAAAGAGAACACAGAUCACCAGACAAGAUAAUCAUGUCUUAAACAGCUUAAAGUAAAGUAAGAGACUUUACAGAGAAGCUGAAGGGAGACAGGUUUAUUGAUAGAACGGAGGAAGCUCUAGAGAGUCGCCGGUUACGUUCUAAGGAGUAUACGUGAUGUGUUUGAUCACUGAAGUUCUAGCUGUGACAUUAAAGAGGAGGUUAAUACAUGAAACUCAAGUGAAUCUAAUUGGAGAGAGGAUCCAAGGAAGAUUAAUCAACUAUCAUCACCAAGAAGAAAUUCGAGAUUCAAAAUCAUCAAGGAAAAAGAAUUCGCGAGCUUUUUCAGAUGAAGAAUCUUACCGGGUGAUGCUUAGAUGGUGGGAGUUUUCUGAAGAUCGAGCUGAAGAUCUGGGGAAAAAUCGAUCUACCGGCAAGGAGUCGAAGCGAGAGAGAGUGGUGAGGCUGUAGCAGCGUACGAGCUACACCGAUUCAUCGGAAAAAUGACAGGAGAAGUCACCGGUGUGUGACGCCAUCAACGUCGCGAGAUUUGUCGGGAGAAGGAGUAGAAAUUUUUUUUGGUCUUCUGGUUUCUUCGAUGGAAUCGAAGAGGAAGACAAGGAAGAAUUAAAAUUGGGCCAGGUGGAGUUUGUAAAGUGGGCCUCAACUUUAAUACUUCAAGCCCUUUCCCAGCCCAGCAAUGAAACCUGCACAAAACCAAAGGAACGUUAGUUUCCUUUUGUCAAGAAUGUCGGCCAAUAUUUUCCCAAAAACAAUAGGAAAAUAUACAAAGCUACAGAGGACAAGGAAUACGUGAUCCAGUAUAUAAGAAGGCCAUAGGUGAAGGUUACGAUCAUCCGAUACAAAGCAAAUAACAAAGGCAUAGAGAGAGAUCAAGAGCAUAGCAAAUAAGUUCUUAGAGUUCUUAGUUUGGUUAUCACACUUGUGAUCUCUAUUAUUGUUAUUGUGAAACUUCUUUAAGAUAUUAAAUAAGAAUACGUUUGAUUCAUAAAGUUAUUCCAAAGCACAAGUAGGAUUGAAUUCCUAAGAAACUAUACUCUGAAUUUUUCUUCAGAAACUUGUUAUGGGGAAGAAGAAGAAGAUUAAAUCCAAUUGAAUAAUCUUCUCUCUUCUCUCUUCUUAUUCCUUUCCUCUCGUAUUGCAUUUGAUCCCUUUAUAUAUUGACUCAAGUGGUGCCUUUAGUCAACCCAUGCCCUAACUCAAGCGGUGCCUUUUAAUCAAGGCAUAUGUUGAUUCAUAACAUACAUGUUUUGUCUGAAGCGUUAGGUUCCUUUAAUUAAUUAAAGUCCAACAGUAGAUAGAUCAGCUUUGUUACCAACCAAACCAUAACAAUAUCUUGAGCUCCCUGCUUUUGCAGUUCCUAUUAGAUUUAAAUGGUAAAAUCCAAUGAUUCAGUCAUUUAAAUCAUAUGGGUCCAAGAAAUCACAUAGUUUUAUACUCUGAUACGGUUAUAUAGUUCAGAAGCUAUUGCUUGAAUUCCCAAAACCAUUUAGGAAACGGAGCCACUUGAAAACAUAUCUUAACCAAAUACUGAGCUUUCUUAAAAGAUUCAGGGCUUGUUAUAUCAUACACAAUGACAGCAACUGCAGCUCCACGGUAAUAUAAUGGCGCAAGUGCAGAGUACCUGAGAAAUCUAGUUAACGCAUAUUUAGCUUUAACGCGAGCAUGCAAGGCGUUGAUUUAAUUAACUAACACAAAUCUACAUAUAUUUGGUAAUAAUAUAUUUCAAAGUGUUUGAUAAAAUAAUAAAUUUAAUUGACAUUAUAUCAUUCUCGUAGUUUGGAUCAGCAUCUCAGCUUACGUCUGAAUAAAAAUCAACUUCUGGAACAUAUAAUGGAGCAAAAGAAUUGUCCAUAGCAGAUAAAGGGCAAGUCCAUCUCUCCCUGAUCAUGCUUAUAUAACAACAACAUAAUUGACAUUUUAUACAUAUUAAUUCAAAUUUUCAAUUGAAUAUACUGUUCUCAUUGAGUUUCCACUUCCUCUCUUUUUUCGUAUCAGUUUAAAAGUUUUUUUUUCGUUUAACUAUUGUCAUCAAAAUAAAAAUCAAAAAUGUCUUAGACAACUUAAAAAGAUGAUGAAGAAGAAAAGAGGUUAUCUCUAAUCUCAUAGGUAAAAUGGAAUAUCAAGUCCAAAUAAACCACAAACGGUUUCACAUUCCGGAUGCUUUUAUCACCAAUAAGCGAGUCCAAAACAUAUAUGGUCCAUAACUUCAUAUGAACAAUAACAAUAGAGACUAUAGAGUGGAUCCCAAAGUGAUCUGGACAUGGACGUAUGUGUACACUGUCUCAACAUCUCUUAACAUUUAAUUUUCAUAAUGAUUUCCAACUAUUGACAAAAUGAAAACCAUUAAAACCUUUGCCUUUUAAAAAAAAACAUGUCUUAUAUAAUUUAUAUAUAUAUAUAUAUAUAUAGAGCUAGAUGAUAAGAUAUAUUUAAAUAAAUAAUCAUUAGAUAUAAUAUAAUAUAAUUAAAAUUAUUUUUAAAUAAAAUGCAGUUUUAACUUUAUUAAAGUCUAAAUAAAAUCAAACUAGAAUAGUUAAACCAAAUCAAAAUAAAUAAGACUAGCAAACGUUUAUGAUUUUUUUUUCAAACCGUUGAAAUUAAAAUAUAAAAAAUAAUGUUCAAAUAUAAAUUUAAUUUUUCUUUUCAAAUAUUGAAAUUUAUAUUUAAAAUUAUUAUUUAUGUGCAUGAUGCAUGAAAACUCAUGGUUUAUUAUAAGCAUAAAAACAUAACUUAUUUGUUUUUAAGUGUUUCCUUACAUCUUAUUUUUCAGUCUUCCUAACUACUUCAUUAAUUUUUUUAAUAUAAUAAUUCGACAUUAUUUGUAACAAUUUCACAGAUUUUUGUGAAAUUGCUUCAUUUGUAACAAAAAAAUCUAAACCGGUUAACAUAAAAAAAUUUAUAUAUAUUUACAGAGUCAGUUAAACAUGGCAUUCAAGUAUCCAUUUGAGUAUGUAUCGUUUGUUGGAUAUUAGAUUUUUUGGAUUUUAAAAUUAAACUCCAUUCGGACAUUAUAAAUUGUCGGAUGGGAUUCGAGUCGGAUUCUUCUGGAUCGGAAAAAAUUCGUACGAACCUAAAAAUAUCCAAAUAACUUAUAUGUUUAAAAAUGUCAUUAAAUAAUUUAGAAAAAAAAUACUAAAAAUCAUAACCCAUGCGGGUGUGCAAAUAUGUUAUUACAUAUGGGAUAGUCCAUAUCAUUGCUUCAUUUGAAUUCGCUUCCAGUUUCCACUUUCCAGGAUUCAUAUGUUCUCGACCUCAAAUGUUUGAUAUAAUAUACAUGUCACUUAAACAGAGCGAAAGAUCGCUUAAACAUUACAAAAAGUCCUCUCUAAAAUAGCAGUACAUAAAAGUAUGGAAAAGAUUAGUCAGGAAAAGAUAAAAAAGAUUAGUCAGGAAAAGGGUAAUGCUUUACUUUGAAGGUAAUCCAAACGCUCCAAUCUUGACAAAAGAGAAGAGGUAGCAUCUUUGCCAAUUUCAUAUAUUCAGACAAGAAUAAUAACAAACUGAGUAGAGGAAGCCAUGGCUGCUGAGAUGAACACAAGUAAAUAAAUCAUAGGAAUGGUUACCUGUCUUUGUGAAUUUGAAAUAAAAUUAAUUCUUGAUUAUAUUGCAUAGAAGAGGUGAGAUUAUUCAUUGACUAUAUAUAGUCUUGUUUGAAAGAACAUGUAAAUGGACAGGCACGGUCCUCAUUCUUAAUUCUUUAUGAUAUUUUGCAGAUAGAAGAGUGAGCAAAAAUGACAACAUUUUUAUUGACUAAUGUUUUUCAAAGAGCAACAUGAAAGCAGAAACGAAAAUGUAAACGGUCUAACACACAUAACCUGGUCCUCACAUGAUUUGCGCAGAAGUUGGAACAUAAGAGGCCACAAAUGGCUCAAGCUGUAUGUAUAUACAUUUUCUAAGAUCCUUUUUUUGCGAUCAAUAGCAAUCUGAUGGAUAAAGAGAUCUUUGGUGUCGUCUCAGAUAUCAAAAGUCUCUCAGAUUUGUUUAUCUCUAUCUCCUACUCUCAAUCUGAUAACUGGGAUGCCGAUCGGUUGGCGAAGAAGGUCCUGCGCGAUCCUACCUCUGCUUCUAUUUUUAUUAGGAACCGGGCCUCAGAUUCUAAUAUAGGCUUUGUAAUAGGCUAAACCCUUUUUAAGUUUUAAUGAAAUUAAGUUGAUAAAAAAAAAACCAUUAUCUCCAACGAUGCAAGUUCUAAACAUUCUCUUGCGUCCACCAAAAAGCACAACCAUGUUCUCCUCCUCCACAAUGUAGAAACUACCAGAACCGAUAUACUUACCUACUGAAUUCAUAUCAACCUUGAGGAAGUUUGUCCAAAAAACAGCAUCUGGCUCAAUUUUAUUGGUAACCAAAACCUCCAUCUUAUACGUAUCGGACCGGUUUACUAACAGCCCAAGCUGCUCUUCUCUAACCGUAGACAGAGACACACCAUGCACAAUACUAGGGUCAACUGGCAGAGGCAGACGCGGUCCAAACCUCUCUCUUUUAAAAUCAAAACACCAUAAGAAACCAUGUGAUUCCUGAUCUCUAGCAUACGAGUAAUAAUCUCCCUUCAAAGACACACCAAAGAUACCUAAAACACACCAAAGCUAUCUAAAGUCUCAUCAGGAACAUCAGUUACCCUCCAUGAGUUUGAGUUAGAAUCGUAUAUUACGAAUUAUCGUAUUGAUUAUAAGUAUAGCAAAACAUCAAGAUUUUGAAGCUACCACAAGAGGAAUUGUCGUAUCCAAACGCAAUCUGAUCUUCUUCAAAUCGGCCACUAGGCCACUUGAUCCAUCUUCUUUUACACAAAUACGGAUUCCAAACCACAAACAUAUUGCGUAUGUCUCUCAAUACACAUAGUAUUAAACCAUUGCACUGAUAGAUCCUUAUAGAUAUUACUUCACCUGAAUUUUCUCGAGUGAUAAGUGUACGCUUUGCUUCACGGAUAGAUCAAACUUGUUGACGUGAGUUUUGUAAAGGUUGACGUUGAUCAAAUAAACCCUAUGAUCUCUCGUGAUCAUAAGAAACUCUUUUCCCCUUGAUGUUUUGCUUAUGUGUUUAUCUCUAAAGCUCUAUCUUUGGAUAAAGCGUUCUACUUUUUGCAAGUAGAUCGUACUGCUCCUAUAGAUUUCAGUGGAACCCUAGAAAGAAUCUCCUCCACCAAAUCAAUUGGAAGUUUUGAUAUCAUCAUGUCGUUGUUUCAACUAACUUCAGGAUCAAUGUUCACACCGAUAAGAACUAGGUUAACCUUCAAAACUAUUUUGUGGUUGGUGAGUUCACGAGAGAGAGAAGCUGUCGAUAGAUUGACAUUGAAGAGUAAACACAGAAACCCUAACUUUAAGGUUUAAAACGGUGGAGCAUCAGUCACGUUUUGUAAUUUAUUGUUACUGGGCCAUUCUUUUUAUAAGCCCAUUAUAGAUGUCACAGAGUUAAGACCCAGUUUUUGUAACAUUGUAUCAUCUUAGCUUCUCCUCUUAUGUAACCACAUAAUAUCAUUAACUAGGAACGGCCCGCCCUACGGGCGGAAUGUAAAUUAACAAAUAAUUUAAAUAGUUAAAAUAAAUAUUUAAUAUAAAUUGUUAUUAUUUUAAAAUAGGGUUCCUUAUAAAUUGUUAUUAUUUAAUAUAAAUCGUUUUAUUUUUCAAAAUAAAUAUUACUUGCUUUCAAAGUAUUGUUUCACUUAUGAUCUCUUUGUUUGUUGCUGAACUAUUUUAUAUCGUGUCUUUGUUAGAAAUGCAAAAACAUAUUUUAUUCCUCAAAUCACAACUUGUACUUCUUUCUAAAAUCUUAAUCAUCAUCAUUAUUACCGAAAAAUCCAAAAUCUUCUGCAUCUACUUAGGCCAAACUAUCUCGUAAACUUGGGAUUUAUUUGCAUGUUAUAUUCAUAUGUCAGAGUUCAUAAUGUGAAAAAGCCAGCUUAAUUGCUUAAAUCAUAUGAUCGAACCAUCUUUUGCAUCUCUUUUGAGAAGAUUACUCAUAAAAGAAAAAAACAAAAAUACUAAUUAAAAUAUAUGUAUCAUAGCUUGAGGACAUGAAACGUUAUGAAUUUAUCAUAGGUGAAAAGGUUGGAAAGUCAUGCGUGGUUCAAACAGGAUUUGUAAAUAAAAAGAAAAAAAAAAGAAGAAAAUUGCAGAUUUAAAGGCCUAGCUCUUGCAGCUCCACAUCAUAAAAUGCUUAAGGACCUUGACUCAGGAUUAGCUCAGAUCAUACCAGCGUAGCCCACUGUAUAGGAAAAGACUGCUUUGAUACUAUCAAGCAAUAUCUCAUGUCCUUGGUAUUGCUGAUAUUCACAAACAACGAAAUAUGGAACUACAAAAUUCUUGUAAGAAUCCCAACUGUUUUAAGUGAAAGGUAAAUAAUGUUAUUGUUCUCAAUUCAGCGCACGGAAAACAUGGACAGCAAACCCGUCGAAACAGCUAAUCACCGCUUGAUGACAUCCAAAUCCAAGUUUAUCUAAGGCUUUCCUGGUUGCUAGCAAAAGACCAGGUCUACGACAACAAAUCAUGCGAGUGUUCACUGCACUUAGUCUAACCUCAACCUGUGAAUAACAGAAACGCAUACUAAAUGUCUUAAACUAUGAAAGGAAAUUCUCCUAUGAAGCUUUGUUUACGCCUUGACACGGAAAGAAAGAGUAUGAGUUGUAGGUGUUAAUGGAUGGAAGUGGAAGCUUGGGAAGUUGGAGGCGAAGAUCCAAGUCGAGUUGACUCAAGUUUGUUGUGAAGUUUAUUGAUCCUCUGUAAUCGUUUGUUGAGACAACAAUUUGAAUCUUCAAGUAUUGAUGCUCUAUCUAUUUAUAAAUGGCAUCCAAAUCCACUACAUACGCUAUAGUUUAUAGCUCAAUAAAAGCAACACAAAUAUAUCCAACUUAACAGUGAUAAGUAAAUGAUAAGACAGUCAUUACGCAAAUAGAGAAGCAAUUGUUUACUUCGCCUCUUCCUCCUCAUCUGAGCCAUCAGAUUUUUUAUAGGGAUUCCCUUCUUCUUACAUUUCCUACUCCAUUUUGAACACUCUUAGUCCCUUACUGCUUUCGUUCAACUUCUCCGACAGACUUGUAAUUCCACCCUGAAACCUUGAUCCCAGUCUCAUCCAUCUAUGCAAAUCAAUAUGAAGUUUAAAAAUAUGAUAAUCUAUUCCAAUUUUCAAAAACUCACAACUCAAACAAAAAAAUGAAUAUGAAAGCAUACACUACCAAGUUUGAGGAGCUCUGUUUCUAGAGCACAAUCAUUGGAGUUUGAUAAGAUUUAUAGGAAACUACUCAAGUACCCCUCUGAAUUUUCUUCUUGCUUGAGUCAACGAUAAUCUAAUUUGUUAGAUCAGUAAUGCUUGUCAUUCUGAUUCUAUUUCACAGGAAUUUGACAAUUUUUUUCAUCAACGUGUAAAUAAAAUAAAAAGGUUACCUUGGCUGUGCUUCUCAUGUCUAUUCCGAACCACCAACCUGGUUUGAAAGAUCGUAGAAACCCCACAUUAAAAAGUAAAAAUAAACAGAACACAUAACACUUUCUUUGUUGUUCAAGAUGCAAUUAUCAAACAACAAACCCGUGAGAAUGACAAAAACAUUGUCUUUUAAAUCAAACUGCAGAAAGAGAGAUGAGGAAGAAAAAGUUACUGAUAGUUUGAGUACAAAAGCCAAGAAAUAACAAAACUAAUUCAUGAAAGGAGUAUGGCAAAAUAAUCAUACAGAAAUGUUACCAAGGAAAUUUUUUUUGUUGGAGGAGCUUUUGAGCAGGGUUUAGUUUGACGAACUUGUUUUCCUGUCAAAGAACAAUAGAUUUUGGUUAAGAACAUGUUUUAAAAAGUGUGAUGAAACAAAUAGGCAUACGAAUUAUUUUGUUUCUCAAUUCCCAAAUUACAAAAAAAAAAAAAAUUGGUGGAUAAGAAAAAAAUAAAGAGCUCGAGGUCUCUUACUCUGACUGGUUUCAAUCUGAAAGGAGCAGGACGAUGUGCGUGGAAAUCUCUCAUCUUGUACAUUUAUACUACAUAAAAUGAAACAAAGAUUCAACCUUUGGAUUUCUAAAAUUAUUAAAAUUAACCGGAUCAAUAGUCAUUACUCACUAACAGGCGAAAUUUGCAGGAAACAACAACAGACGAAAUAAAAUAUUAGAUUAGAAUGAUGGUUCUACAGAAGAACAGACGGAAAAAAUGAAGCAUAAAACACUCACGUUGACGUCGAUCAUGAGCUCCCCACCACGCUUGAAAUUCCUAACCUCCCAGAAACUCAGCAGCCUCGCCUCGACAACAGAAGAACACCUCCCGGAUUUCAAUCGGAAAAAAAAAACUUUCGAGUAAGUCAUUAAGAAAUAUGAGCAAUAAGAGAUGAACAUAUGAGGAAGAAGGAUAACAGAGAGAUUUUGAGAGCCCGUUUAGCAGAAGCGAGAUACAUACAUAUUUAUAGAUGGGAUCGCCGACGAAAAAGCUCAACCGAAGAUAUCGUAGUGAGCGUCUGAUUGAAUGGGAUUAAAGACAGCAGGAUUAAAGGCCAAUGAAUCUCAACGUCUCCGUUACGGAUCCGAAACGUCAUCGCAUCCGCCGAUACGACCAAAGCAUAAGGGAGAAGUCAGCUGCGUCGUUCGUCGCCGUAUUAGGGUUUCAGAGCAACAUAGAAGUUUUGUUUUUUCUGGGCUAAAUACAAAACUAAACAUAGAGCCAAUUUCGAAGCCCACUCGGUCAAACGGAAAACAUUGCAUUUUAAUAAGGGGACACGUGUCGAACGGCUGGAGACAUAAUUGUUGUGCUGUCAUCCCAUGUGGAGGGCCUUAGGAGAGAUUAAAAGUGUCUUUUAUAUAUAAAGAUACUUCCUCUCUCUCUUAAAUAUAUAGUCUCAUCAGACUUCUCAAACACACAUACUAUGAACUGAGAUUAAAAAAAUUCACGUGAUCGGUUUAUUAUGACUCGUAAGAUAUAUAUGAAUAGGAUGUUCAGUGAUGAGAAACAAAGUGAAGGUGGUCUAGCUGUUUUACUCGUUUCGUUAUAAGAGUGAGAGGUGGUAGGAAAGAGAAACAUAAAAGAAACGAGGAUAUUUCAAGUAGUGUUGAGCCAAUGAUGAAUUCUCUUUAGGUAUGAGAAUUCUCUAUAGAUAGCUGCAGGGUCGACCAUGCUAGGUGAAACAUUCGCAACAGGCCCCUAAAGUUUUUGAAAACAAUUACAUACAAAUAGGUUUCAAAAAAAAAUUUUAGGCCCUAAAUUUAUAAAGAAAGUUUUUUUACAUAUACAUAGCCACAGCCCCCAAAAUCUCAGAACCUGCCCUGGAUAUCUGGCUGCUACGUUAUCUCUCACAGCUCUUAUUUGAUGAAACACAAUUAUAUAUCUAACGUGAUGAUCCCCAACGUUGCUUAAUUUGGCUUUCCACUUUCCAGGUUCAUUUACUCUCCAAUCUCAAGUCUUCACAUUAUACAACACACUUUAACAGAUUAACACCGUUUAGACAUUACAUGAAAGUAUGGAACGUUUAGUAUAGUCGGGGCAAGAGUGUUUGCAUUUCCCUUACGAUGAUCCAACAUUCCAAAUCAUGAGGAAGGAGAAGGACGAGGUAGCCUCUUGCCAAUUUCCUAUAAGAUAAGACCAAGUGCACAUAUUAAUGCAGGAUGACAAGACAUUUGGUCAAAAAACCUGUGGCCAUAAAGAAAUGCACACCUCAAACAGUUGGUUUAUGUUAUCUGCUGUCUUGGCUGACGUCUCAAUAAAGAACAUGCCAUUCUUCUCUGCAAGCUCCAUGCCAUCCUGUUAAAAGAGCUGAAAAUAUCAUACACGCUGGCUGAAGAAGAAGCAAGAACAGUGUAAGUGGUAACAAAAUGUUCUAUUGAAUCUAGGUUAAUGCAAAAACUCACAUCGGUUAGUACUUCUCUUUUUUCAUGUAGAUCAGCUUUGUUACCAACCAAAGCCAUAACAAUAUCCGGAGCUCCAUGCUUUUGCAGUUCCUGUUAUAGAUUUAAAGGGCAAAGUCCAAUGCUUCAGUCAUUCAAAUCAUAUGAGAGCACCACUUGAAAACAUACCUUAACCCAAUACUGAGCUUUCUUAAACGAUUCAGGGCUUGUUAUAUCAUACACAAUGACAGCAACUGCAGCUCCACGGUAGUAUAGUGGCGCAAGAGCAGAAUACCUAAGAUAAUUCGAGUGUAACAUGUACAUAUUAAGCUAUAACGAACACACACAAAUCUACAUGUGAGGGAGGGUUUUAACACCUCUCUUGCCCUGCUGUAUCCCAUAUUUCAAACUUCACCGUGGUAGAGUCUUGCAAGGCUAUUGUCUGGGACAAGAACGACGCUCCAACAGUCACCUGGAUAGUUUUCAGAUUCAAUGACAGAUAAGAAUAUAACUCUAAUACUCUCACUCACAUGCCACAUAGUAUUAGAAGAUAAUAAUGCUUGACUUACUUACCUUAGAUGUUGCAUCAAACUCACCACGCACAAACCGAAGGACAAUACAGCUUUUACCCACGCCAGAAUCUCCUAACAAAACUAACUGCAUUCAACUCAGUCCAAACGUUCUUAAACAAGAGCUUUAAAUUAAACACAAAGGCUCGCACCUUUACGCGUAGAUUCUUAGCAUCUGCAUUCUCUGAGCUGCUAAGACCGUUUAAGGCUCCAGAGUUCCUGUCUGAAACAACACACACACACACAUCAUCUUCAUGAAUCAGCAAAAACCCCUAAAUUAACGCAAAUGAUCCCUAAAUUUCGUGAAGAUUCUAAUUAAACCCCAAAGGUUUCGCCUUUGGUCUCGAGGGUAAGUUAUUUUCUCUCUUAUAAUCGAAGACUAAUGGGAUGAAUUCAACAAAACAGAGAAGCGUGAAAAGAAAGAAGAAAACUUGCCUGGAAGAGAAGCAGCACAUCCCAUAGCGUAUAGAGAUGCGAGAUCGUAUCCAAGUUCUGGGCGUUGAUGCCACCGAAUCGGAGAAGAAGAAGAAGGUCCGGUGAUUUUUGACUUUGCCAACCAUUUUCGAGUAAGGCUCGCUCUUUAUUUAUUUGAAGCCGUAACUAAUUUCUUAUUUUAUAUAUGAUUUUCUUUUAAAUUCAAAAUAUUUAUCUAUAUAUAAUAUAUUUUUUAAAGAGAAUAAAAGCAUCAAGUAACAAAUUUUAUUCGGUAUUCGGUUUGUACCCUGAGGUUAAAAAAAGUAAAUAUUUACUAUCAUCAAAUCAAGUAACUAAUAUUUAAUUUUAAUUAUUUCUAAAUUUUCUUAUAUAUUAAUUGAGAAGUGAUUUUUGAUGACGUAUCACUCGUACAAACAGUUUGAAAACAUUUUUUUUUAUAAUUUCAUUGGUCAAAAUUUUUAAUUUUAUUUAUUUUUAAAUAAUUCUAAAGCUAAUCCUAAAACUAACGUAAUCCUAUUGCCAAACAACUAAAAACAUUAAUCUAAAAUAUAUAUCUUCUCUAUCUCAGUUUCUAUGGUUAACAACUUACGAGAUUUGCUCACCAUACAAUCAGAUGAUGCAAUCACCAUCGACGAAAUAUGGAGGCAAGUUUUUCCAGGUAUUCUUCUUGCCUUACUUCUGCAUCUUGUAGAUUGUAGGUUUCCUUUUAAUCUAUGGCAAGUAGCAAUAAUAGGCUGCCAUGUUCAUUGAUCUCAAUCCUUCUAUUAUGUUUCUCGUACUUACACUUGUAAUUGGGUAUUUGUUAAAAGCAUAAAGGUUAAGGUUGUGCCUUUAAGCUUGGUAUUAUCUUAUAAUAACUUAAUAAGUAUCUUUUUGUAGGUUGUGCUAUUGUAUUCCAAACCAAAGCUUCAUGCAAUAUAUAACAACAAAAGGGUAGUGAGUCUCCAUGACAGUUUAUGGGGAACGUAUGAUCAAGGGUUUGAUGAAGCUGAUUUCUUCACAUGAUUAGAACCAGUUGUUUAAAUAGGGAUAUUUGGACUCCAAAGAUUUCUGUUGAGUACAGUUUACCUACAAAGAUUAAAAUGUUUACAUUUAUUUGUAUGCUUCCUUGGAUACAAAUAUCAAGUGAAGGUAACCAUGGAUCUGACAAUUUAUUACCUGAUGGUUCUUUAUAGUAGUUAUGAGCAAUUCUUAGUUUAUCUUGUUGAGUUUCAUGCCUAGAGUUGUAAUUUUGAUUUCCUAAAUUGAAAUUACAAUCCACGCUAAAUGUAUGGAUGGAAUUCUGAGUAAUGUUACUUUAUGCAUGUGUUUGCUUUAAUAUGAUAUGAGGAUUUAUAUUGGAUCUCUCGCAUCUUUUUGUAGUUAACAUAUAUGAGGAUUCAUAUAAAAGAUGUUACUGGAUGCGACUAGAUUUUAUUCUCUCGGGCUUCUAGCUCUUAGGAUUCAAGUUUGUCGAACUACAGGGCAAGAACUGGUGGUAUCCACUUCCUUCUUUUCUGCUUGAGAGUUCUCGUCACCAUUAUUAUUUUUGUUCCAGUUGUCACUGGACUUUACCGGUUUUUAUUUCUGAUUAGCCAAUGACUUAGUUGUGCAGUUUCUCGAUGAUUUUCACUGUCUUAUUAGCCAUGUGCCUAUGAUGUAGUUGAGGACAAGUUGAGCUGCAAGCAAUGAUGUAGUUAUUGCUUCAUAAUCUUUUUUAGAUUUAGAAUACAUAUACAGAAGUAAAUUCAAUUUUACAUAGGGAAAUUGAGUAAUACAAGGAUUCAUUUUAACUGCUUAAUUUAUUAAGAAAUAGUUGGUGUCAUGCGCCAUGCAUAGAAAUAAAUCUUUAAAUAUAUAUAUAAUUUCAUUUAGUUAAGUUAAUUAAAAAUAAAAAAUAAAAUCAUAAAUCAUAAUGUAUUAUAUUAAAAAAUUGAUCAAUUAUUAUUUACUUUUCGGUUUGACUUAAGAAUAUUUAAUUUUUAGUUUAGUUAAGUAUAAUUAAGUUAAACUAAACAAUUAAAUCUAUUUUAUAUUUAUAUAUUUAAAAUUAUAGUUCUGAGUAUACUCUUUUGUUUAAAUUUAUUACAUCCAUAAAUAUUGUUUAUUUUAUUUAUCUCAAUAAAUCAAUAAUUAUCACAUAAAAAUUAUUGUACACCAUUUAAAUCUAAAUAAAUUCAAUAGAUUAAAAACUCGACUAACAUCUAUAUACCUUUGGAUUCAAAUAUAACUUAAAAAUUAGUUAUUCAUUAUUUUAAAAAUUUUGAUCAAAAUUAUCAUAGUUAACUUUUAAAAAUUCUUUUAUAAUUUUAAUAAAUUUUUAUAUUUAAAGGUAUAUUAUUUUUUAAAAUGUUAAUAAUAAUUAUAAAUAUUGUUUAUGUUUAUGGUAUGUAUCAGAUGAUUUAACUAUCUUAUUUUAAGAAUCUUACCAGAAAUCAAAGUAUUUACCAUCAAAUAUAUAUAGAUGUGUGUGUCAUUAUUAAAGAGAAGUCAUGUCAUCUUUUUAACUAAAACAUGUCAUCAUUAUUUUUCAAAAUGAAUGUGGUAAUGAUACUUAAGCAAGAAAAAAAAAAUUGUCUUAUAAUGUUUAUGAGAUAUUCAGAGCGUGCUUAUACAAUUAUCUAGUUGGUUUUUUGCGACAUGCGUAGAAAUAAAUCUUUUAAAAUAAAAAACAUAUAUUAAAAUAUAAUUUCUUUUACCAUAUAAAUAUAAAUAUAUAUAUUUAUUUUUAUAUAAGACUUAGCAAUCAACAAUCAUCAUACCACAAUUAUUGUAUAACAUUUAAAUCAAUAUAAAUUCAAUAGAUUGAAAACUCAAUUAAUAAUCUAUAUAUUUUUGGAUUAAUAUAUAAUUUAAAUAUUUAAUUAUUCGUAAAAUUUUAAAUUUGGAUCAAAAUUUUCAUAGUUUAUUUGUUAAAAUUCAUUUAUAAUUAAUUUUGAUGAAAUAUAAAUAAUUAUACGAAAUUAUUUACUAUUUUUAUCAAAAGUUCAUUUUAAUAUACUUUUAUAUUUAAAGUUAUAAUAUUUUAGAAUGUUAAUAAUAAUUAUAAGUAUUUUACGUUUAUAGUACUUAGUCAGAUUUUGUAUAACUAUCUUUUUUAAAUAAUAAUCUUACAAGAAAAUCAAAGUAUUUACUUUUAAAUUUGUACAUGUCAUAAUUAGAGGGAAGUCAUGUCAUCUUUUUAACUGAGGCAUAUCAUCAUUUUUCUUUCAAAAUGAGUGUGGUAAUGACACUUAGACAAAACUUGAAAAAAAUCUUCACAAAUAAUGUUUUAAGGAAAAAAACUAGAUUUCCACCCGCACAACCGUGCGGGUAUAUAUUUUAACAUUUAUAUAUAUAUAGAUAUUUGUUUUACAUAAUUAUUAUAUAUUUUAAUAUUACUCACAUAUUCAAAUUUUUGUAUAAUUAUGCCAAAUAUAAUACUUUUAUAGUUUUUUAUGUUGUAAAUUAAAAUCAUCACAUAUAUAUAUUGCUUAUUAUAUAUUUGUCCUAUUGAAUUUGCGUUUGAUUACUAAACUAAUUUUUUUAAUGCAUGAAACAACAUAUAUGAAAACAAUUUUGUAUUUAAUUUAUUAUAAUCAUGAUCUGUAGUUCAAAUCGCUAGAUUGUUUUAGUAAUUUUUAAUGUUUAUUAAUUAAAAAAAUAAAUUGCUGUAUAUUAAAAAGUUUAAGAUAAGAUAAAUUUUUAUACAUGUAUUAUAUAGUUUACUAAUAUUAACCCGUUCUACCAACAUAUUAUAUUUUUAGCAUAAAUAUUUUAUAUUUAUGAAAAUAAAAUAUGUUAAAUUAUCAAUUUAAAAUAAUUUUAUCAUAUUUUGUUCAAUAUAACGUUUUUAUUUUAAAAUGAUGGAUAUUAUUAUAAAAUUGAUAAAAUAUGAUAUAAUUUUAUUCUUUAGUAACAUUUCAUUACUAAUUACAAAAUUAGUUGAAAAUAUUUAUAUCCCAUUUAUGACAAUUAAUAUCUUAUUAUAAUCUUUUUCAAGAGAUUUGUUAGAAUUUUAAAUUUUUUUAAAAAAUUAAAAGAUAUAAAAGAUAUUAUGAUUAAAGUAGUUAAAAAUAUUAUAUAUAUUAGCAUUAGUGAUAUACAUUUAAUAGAAAAUUUAAAUGAUAGUCCAAAUAAAAAUAUCACUCAUAAAAAAAUCAUGAUUUUUAUUUUAUUAGAAAAAAAUAAAAUAGAAAUAAAUAUUUAUUUCUGACAAAAUCUUUAAAAAUUAUUAGUAAAUGUAUUUUUGAAAUUAAUUAAUUUCACUUUAUUUAAAUUUUCGUUUAUAAACCAAAACUAUAUUCAAUUUUUAUUUCUAAUUAUAAUUUAUGAUAAUUUAAUUUAAAACUAACUAAUUUUCGAAAGUAAAUUUAAAAAGAUUCUAAGAAGAUUUUAAAAAGAUUUUGUUAGAACAUUUUAAAUAUAUUUAUUUGUAUUUCAAAUAAAAAGAUAAAGAUAUUAAAAGAUAUAAUAAUGAACUUAUGUAAAAUAUGAUAUUUUUUAGGAAUGGUCUAAACUAAAAAAAUCACACAUGAAAAGAAGUCAUGACUUCUGUUUUAAUAUAUUAGAUAAUAAUGUUUAGGGAUGUUAACCCGUUAUUGCUUCAUACUUGUUUUUGGAUUAAAAAAAAUACAGAAAUUUAAUCUUCAUAAAAAUAAAAAAAAAAUAAACUAAAAUACAAAAGAGAAGAAAAAUAUUUGUUAACUCAUUAAAGUCGUGAAAUAAGGACAAUAUCCUAAAAUAAACAUUUCCGAUAACUAUGAAAUAAAAAGAGAUGAAUAAAUCCAUGGAAAAAGAGAGAGGGAGAGUGUGUGUAACAUAAAAUGACGCAGUGUAUGAGUUUAGAAAUGUUGGUAAAUGACGAAACACUUACUCAAAUUGGCAUCAUAGAUGGAUAUACGGAUUUACAUGAAAGCUCGUCUAUGAAGUCUUUGUGAAGGUGUUAAAAAAAAUAAGUCUUUAUGAAGAAAAGAUAUUGGUUGUUACUCAAUCACUCACUUCCAUUUAAUUUACAUUAUUACUUAUAUAAAACUAUAUACACUGAUUUAAACGCAACACUAACUUCACCAUAAAACCUGGACCAUUCAUAAUAUCAUGGUCCAUGUACAUGUAUUUAGCUAGCAAGAAAAGGCUAUGUAUUAAGCUUUGUAUAAACAGAUGUAGUUUCAAGGGUAUGAAACAUUCUAAUAACUAGCAGUUUAUAACAUUAUAUUUUAACAAAAACAAAAAUAAUAAUUUAGCUAAACAAAUCAACUACAAAAAGAAUCCUCACAAUAAAAGUACAAAGAAUUGAAAGGAAGAAAAAGGAGAGGAAGAUUUAAUGUAAAAUUCAACACCUAACUCUCUCUCUAGUAUCUUCAAAAUCUUCUGCUCUUCCCCAACUUACUCUUCCUUUGUUUCAAGAGUUUUGCCCAUUCACACUACAAAUAAUACAAAAUACAACACAAUCAACUCUCAUCUAACUUUGACCCCUUCCUCAAUUGAUUGCUCCUCUUCAUCCAUCUCUUCUAAAGCUAAAACUUUUCUACUCUCUGACUCUUUCCUACUCCUAUGCCAAUGUAGGCAUUGUUCAAAACCAGAUCAUGCAGAUCAUUCUCUUCGUUUGUGUAGCUUCCAUUGCUGCAUCUCUUGUUUCUCAUUUCAGCCACCUUCUUGUGGGAGUUUGAGUGAAGAGCUGGAGUAAACGUUGGGCUAGCAGCUGGCCGGUACUCCGGGAAAAGCCUUCCCGAUUUGUAACGUACACCGCAAGCAUUGCAAAGCGUCUUUGGGCCCAUAGGCCCGAGCCUCCAUUGUGGGGUCUUGGUGACCUCACAGUGCAUACAUUUCCUAACAGGAUUCUGCUCUGAAGAACACGAAUCUACAUUGUUGUUUCCAUUGGUUUCAAGAUCAAUCUCCGACCAAGAAGAUGAAGAAACAACCUUGGCCUUCUUCUUCUUCUUCUUGGUUAUCAUCUUGCUGUGGUCAGAGAGAAACUGCUUUGGUAUUCUAAUGAUGAGGCGCGAAUCCGCCCCAAAGACAUUGUCGUUGACUUUAUCUUUCUCCUGGACCUGUGGACGAGGACGUUUUGUGCGUGGACGACCGUGCUUUCCAGGGAGGACAAGUGAGGUUGUGUUGGUUGUAUGAGACGAUGAGGAGCUGCUUUCGAGUACCGACACUGGACUUGAGCUCCUGAAUUGGCUAUGAGAAGAUGAUGAAUCCGUGUUUGUGGAAAACGAAUCUUCCUUCUUCUCAACUAAGGAUUCCUCUACAAAACAUUUUGGUCUUUCCACCUUAACAAUAUCUUCAAACUGCAAUUUUCCCACCAAAAAAAGUAUUUGUUAGACACAUUAUGUACGCAUAUAAUUAAGCUCAAUAAAAAGAAAACUUAAAAUCAACUAGACCAAGAGAAAUGGCGCAAUUAAUUUUGUUCUGGUGAUUGGUAAAAUUAUGUGAAUUCACGUAACAAAGGCAGAGUAAAAAAUGAAGCGUAACGUGGCUCUCAAAAUGAAUGAAAAAUAAAUUAAGGUGAAUGAAUAAAUAAAUAAAUUUUGAUAAAUGAAUAUGAAUAUUUGGUCCUAAAUUUUUAGAAUGUUGAUAACAAUAAGAUGAAUGCAGUUUUAAAAACAAUAAAAAUAAAAUAAAAAUUAUAUUGAUUUGAUUUAAAAAUAUACUUUGUAUUUAUUUAAAAAUAAUUAAUUUGAAAGAACAAAGAGUAUUCUGAAUACUAAAAUUACAUUUUUUUAACUAGUGUAAAUUCUAAAGAACAAAUUUAUAUCAUUAUUAUUUUUUAAAUGUGUCAGAAAUCAAAGAAGAGGGCGUAUUUGAGCUAUACAAAUAAUAGUAUAAUACAAACAUUAAUCCAGCAUAGUUUAUUGUGUAAUUGGUAAAUUCAUAAGAAAUCACAUAAAGAAAAGGAAAAGAAGGCGUAGUGUAGUGUUAAAACUGACCGGAACAUAGAGCUCAGGUGAUGAGUCAGAGUUUGUGUUGGAAGCGAAGAGAGGAUCAGAAGCUGCAGGCCAUGUGUCCUGAUGAGUAGUCCAGAUGUUAGGAAAAGAGUCGGAGUCACCUAUGCCGAAACCGACAUCGAUAUCACCACCGGGAAAAUCAAGAAGAUCGUCCAUGUUGUCAAAGAAGUUGCCACAAUCAAGAUCCUCCGGGAAGCUUUGUCCAAACAUCUUCCUUUUACAAUAUAGGAAAUAGCUGCAAAGGAAAAAAAAAACAAGUUGAUAAUUAAGAUAAAAGUGAGACAUAUAUAUAGAGUUUUGAACCGUAAAGAAGUUUCUCAAAAGUUUUUUAAAAUUUUGAACCAUAUUUUGGAAUUGUCUAAAAAAAAUCAAAUUUUGAAAAUAAACAUGCUUUGGCCCACCUUCUUUGAUUUUUUUUUUCAGAAAUAAUGAGGACCAUUCAAUUCAAUUGCAAUAGACCAUCCAAUGGGUCUAAUAGUCAAAAGUCACCGCUAGCUAAAGAUUCUUGAUUAUCUCUAAUGUUUCUUGAAUUGUUGAGUGCCUCAGUAACCAAGACAAAGUGUUAACAGAAAAAAAAAAAAACAGAGUGCUAAGGAAACCAAAACUACAUAAUUGCACAAGGAAACCAAAACUACAUAAUUGCACCACCGACACUAACUUUACACACCAUUCCUAAAGUUUCAUUUAUUCAAGAACUCCCAAGAAAGCAAAACCAAAAUCAAGAAUGUGUGUGAAACAGAGUCAGAGGGAAUUCAAACCUCUGUUAGUAGUGCUGUGCAGAUAGUAUGAGAGAGAGAGAUUGCUUAGAAAGGAAAAAAGUAGGAGUGGGAAGAAGUGAAGAGUGAUUGAUUGGCAAAAUGGGUUAAGUAAUGGAGAGCAAUAGCUUCUCUCUUAUCAUUAUAAAGAGCUAGGUGUGAGAAACACUUCUUCUCUCUCUUCCAGUUUUGAUGCUAGCUGUAUUUUACCAUUCUCUUAUUAUUACAUUGUCUUCAUGUGCAAGUCUCUUUCAUUUAUUUCUCUCUCUAAACAAUUUCAUAAAAAGAAAAGAAUUUUAAAGAUAUCUUUAAUCGCACCUCCCUCUUCAUGUGGGUUCCAUUUCUCAUUGAGACUUUACCAAAGAUGAUUUAUUCACAAACCUUGCUUACCUGUUCAAAAGGUGUUUCUGAUUGAAAAGCAAUGGUUAAGUAAAAACUUAAAAAGAAAAAAAUGAUUUAAAUUAAAGUUAAACCUGCUAAUCAAUCUUUUUCAGAAAAUAUUAUUCAACAAAGGUGGUUAUUUAUUUGUUGUAACUCAAGAUAAAAGCAAAAAAAGAAUUGUCGUUUAAGUAAAGAGUUGACGUAAUUAGAAGAAGAUAUAUGAAAUGAAUAUGGACUUUAAUUUUUUAGAUGAAAUAAAAUAAAAAUAUAACGCGUAUAAACUCCUAGUCAUGGUUUUGCUCCUACCCGUAUAUGUACAGACAAAAGAAAAGUCAAUGAGAUAAUGGGAAGGUGAAAUAGCACGAAGGAAGUGAAGUAUACGACGUUUACGCGUACAUGUAAUUCCAUUUCAUUUAGAUAUUUAUCUAUUUAUUCAUUUCUUCCAUUGUUCAUGCCACUAACUGCGUGUUGCAAAGUAAAAGUAUGACUAUUUCUAAAUACGUAUUAUUAUUUUUGGAAAUACACAUAAGUACAUUCAUAUUGGGAAUAUCUUAACAUAAGUAUUUCUCUUUCAUCAAGUAUAUAUAUACUGAUGGCCUAAGUAUUUUUCAAACCUAGUUCGUCUUUGUUUCUUUCUUUUUAUUACUAACAGCAAAUAUUGGUGGAUGAUUAAUUAAAGUGUAACUGUAAACUUUUUAGUCGGUAAGAUUAUUGAUGUUAUUUUUCUAAUGUAAUUAUCUCUAUUAUUAAAAGAGAAGUACCAAUAUAAAUUACCCCUUAGUUUUCAAAGUUAUUUACAUUUGAAUGCCACUGAAAUAAUAAAUUUACCUACCUUUUAGUAUUCUUGUCUUUUAUAGUUUAAUUAAUGCAUUUUCCUAAAAUAAAGUAUAACAAAUUAUGUUUAUUUAUUUAAAAAAUGUUUCCUAUAAUCUAGGUAAACAAUAAAUUAUACUUAAUCAAUGUCAAAAAUAUAACAAGAUUUUAUUAUUACGGGGGUGAUUAUUUUUAUUUUGGUAUAUUAACGACGUCUAAAAAACAUAAAAGUGUUAUAAAAAUACAUAAUAUAAACCACAAAAUUUUAAAUAAGAUAUUAAAUUAUUUAAUCGUAUAAAUCAAAUAUAAAAAUAGAUAACCAUUUUAUUUUACAUUAAAAUUUUGAUCCAUAAAAAAUACAUUUGCACGAACAUACGAGUUAUAUUUUAAAAAUAUGGUUGUAACAGUUGACGGAUCAAAAAAAUAAAAUAAAAUUAUUCAUUAUAAAUUCUAAAAUGAUUCUGUUUAGAAAUAUAUUAAAUAAUUAUUUAGUAUAUAUAUAUAUAUAAAAAUUUUAAAAACAUAUAUUACCAUUUAUAUAAGAUAAAUAUUUUUUUUUGCAAACCAAAAAUGAAUACCCGCGCGGAUGCGCGGGUCAAGCUCUAGUCUAUAUUAUUAUAACUGAAGUAUCUUUUGGUACUGUUAAGAAACUUAAAUAGUAUAUUAAAUGAAAGUUGUUUGGAAACAAGAAUAACAUAUUAAUUUUUUUUUAUUUACAUAUUUAGUCAUUGAAUUUCUUUCUCAUUUACAGAUUUUAUCGUUUGGAAACUUGGAUAUUAGAUUAAAUGAGAAUUGUUUGGAAACACAAAUAACAGAUUAAAUAUUUCUUUCUAAUUACACAUUUAGCCACUGCAUUUCUUUCUUAUUUACAAAUCUGCCAGUUCACUUAAAAUUAAAAAUUUAAAUUAAUUAAUUACAAUGAAUUGUUAUUUCUUUUUACUGAAAAUAAAAACACAAACUGUAAUAUAUAAUAUAUAUUAAUGUGCUACAAUACAAUUUUCAAGAAAACCAGAUAUCAUAAAAUUAAUAAUAAUUCAUAACAGCCUACUAUAAAAAAAUUAAAUCAUUUUUAAAUAAAUAAACAAAAAAAUCAAUAGGUUAAUAUAUGAAUAUGACAAUUACAUCAAAUUGCAUCAAGUUAUAAAAUUAUAAAUAUAAUAUUACGUACAUAUAAAAUAUUAUUAUCAAACAUGUAUAUUAUAAUAUAAUAUAUUCUACUCUAAAUAUAUUUUACAAAACAUAAAAAUAUAAAUAGAUAUUUUAUAAAAUCAAUGGUUUAUAAAUUUACAUUGAACACAAGUUAAAUCCAACACCCGCGCGGGAGCGCAGAUCAAGAUCUAGUAAUAAUUAAAUGAAAUCUAUAAAUCUAUAUUCUUAUAUCAAUAUAUUCUGCUUUAGAAAACAUGGUUCCUAAAACCAUUUUUAGUUUUAAAGACUAAAUAAAACAUGAUUAGUAGUUUUAAUGAAUGUAAAUCGAAAUUAAAGCUAAACACAUUUGUUACAACUUUCAACCCAACUAAUUAGCUCCAAAGCAUUUUCAAAUUUUUAAUCAAAGUGAUAAACACUAGACUAUUGUCAUUACGGUUUUAUAUUUCUUAUAGCUGUAAAAUGUACGUAGCGCCGUUUCCUUUCCAUCUAAAAUGACUUCAUCUUGUUAACAUAUUUACAAUCCGUCAAAGAAAAUUUCAUUUACAGUUUACAACCCAAAAAUAUGUGAACUCUUCAAAUGUUUAUAUUGGGAAAUCAAUAAAAUAGACCACAUCAAUAUCAAGAUUAUUAUAUUUAUAUUUUCAUAAUUUUGAUAUAGUGAUCUCAUUAUCUCCCAAUUGUUUGUUUAAACAAAUAAUUAAACAUACUAACUGAAGUUCUAUCAAAUUUGAGUUGGGUUUUACCUUAAGCUAUUAAGCUAAAACGGCUGGCAAGAUCUAAAUGCCUUGAAACACCUUAUAAAAGAAGGGUUGAUUAUUACCAAGAUAUCUUGAAAUUAAUUAAAUGAUAAUAACAUAUCUAAUCAUGUUCAUCUUGUAGAUAUCAUUAUAAUGAUUUUUUACAAUUUUCUAAUAUCAGAGCAUUUCUAUCUCCACUCCAUGUUUUACUCCAAAAAAUGGAGUGGGGAUGGAUAUUCCUUACUGAAUAAUGAUGAGGGCAUACUACAUAAAUUAAUAGAUUAAUUUAAUUGGUUAACAAAUAAUCUGAAUAUAAUGGCUAGUUUGUAGAGAACACUGUCCUGGUCACCAAAAAUCGAAGACAAUGAAUUAAGAGCCCUAGAGCUCCACAUUGUUAGACGUAUAUAUCCUAUGAGAUUUCCUUUCGGAGUAUCUUCUAUAUCACUAUUUUACUAAGCUAGCUUCAACAAUACUCAUAGUUUCAUUUAUUCAAGCAAACUCUUUCCUAAGGAUUUUUAAAACAAAACAACAUAUAUAAUCUACCAAUUUAAUUCAAUGCUGAUUUCCUAAUUAAGGCUAUACCUUUCCACUUUCUUUCUUUUAUUUUUUUCUUCUCUUUAAGUUUUCAUUUUGCAGUAACUAACUUGGACUUCACUCCAUACACAAUCACUUUCUUCUAAAAGACUUCUCUCCACUACUCUGAAAAUGACAAAAGCUAUAUCAUGAAGGUGUUUAUAUAUACAUAUAAAGACAUGUACUAUAUGUAUACUAUAUGUAUAUUAUAUAUAUCGCAUCUUGUCAAUGGUUGUAUGUUGAGAUCACUUCAUGCAUUAUACAAAAUAUGCAUAUAUAUUAUGCUAUUGGAAAUUUUUAGCCUCAGCCCAUGGUCGGGACCAAAAUGUUCGUAUAACUUCCGGCAACAAAAGAAAAAGCUCGCUCUUAUGUAUGUCGAUCAUUAAUCUUAAAUUUGAUUAAGACAUCUCAACAAAUAUUGAUUAAAACGAGUAGAUUUGUCUACAAACACUACUUUCUCUAACCGAAUAAUUCUGGUUCUAAUAAAACAACUCAAUUGCAGGUAUGAAAAAUUACGUAAGUAGUUUAAGAAACGAAAUAUCUAUGAAUGUGGUAUGACUCCUGCAUAAUACCUGAAUAUAUAUAGGACAACAGAGAUGUUUUCAUCCAAAUUUAUUGUAAAUUUAAAAUCUCAAUAUAUAGCCAAAUUUUUUUGCUUUGUAUUGGAAAAGGCUAAACUCCUCGAAAGAUUUUUUUCUUUCUAUGAACUCAAUAAGUUACACUUAAACGUGUCCAUAUCAUCACAUAAAAUGAUAUAGUAAAUAAAUAAAAUUGUCACCUCUAUCACAAGAGAGUAAUAAUACAAAUCAGUGACAAAUGAUCUACAUAUAUUGUAUAGUAUUAAUAAGCGGGAUAAUAAAAGUUGGCGGACUAGUGGUUAGUACUUAAACAUUUCUUGUACUGUAAUUGACCCGUAUAUGAUAACGUAUAUUAUACGAUGUGAGUGCGACCAUAUGCGUAUCUAGUCGGUGGACGAUUUAUUAGCAAUUAGCAUGUGCACAUAGAACAAGUGAAGGCGCGGGUGACUUGCGAGCAAGUAAGAGCCCAUGUUUUCGUUAGGACCCACAUUUGUCUAAAAUACGUGAGAAGAUACGAUUGAGAUUGGCCCCACGUACAUGUUUACAAUUAUAAAACGGUUUAAAGCGUAAUUAUCAAAAGGGAAACAAAAAAGAUUAUAAGCGCCAAUUUGGAAUAAAGAAAUACAUAUAUCAUUCAACAAAUCACGUGGUUUUGCCUAGGGAUCAGUUCUCUCUUCCUGACAAUGAGUAUUUUUUAACUCAAACGAAUAGGUACCAAACAUGUGUCGAUCAAUCUCCACGUUAGAUCAUGUGACGANNNNNNNNNNNNNNNNNNNNNNNNNNNNNNNNNNNNNNNNNNNNNNNNNNNNNNNNNNNNNNNNNNNNNNNNNNNNNNNNNNNNNNNNNNNNNNNNNNNNNNNNNNGAGAAAGACUCACCCAAGCAUACCAAUCUCUCCUUAAAUUCCAACCAGACCCGCUCUGGAACAUAGGACUAGAAGCUAGGGUUGGAUAAAUUUUCCAUAAAUUUUGUUAUACGUUUCUAUUCGAACUGAAAUUUUUGGAUAUAUAUAAAUUUAUAAAGAAAAUUAAAUACUAAUAUGCAAUAUUCUUAAAAACGAAAUAAAUCGCAGAUACAAUGCUUUUUUAAGAAUGAAUAUUCGUUUCGAUCCUAUAUGCAUAUAUAAAUAUAUUUAGAGAAUUAUAUAAAUUGUAUAAUUAUUAUGUUUAAUAUAAUUUAUUAAUUUUUACAAUAUUUUUCUUUAUUAAAUUGAUUAUUUAGUCAUUAGAGUUCUAAAAGUAAAUAACUUUUCAAAUUUUGUAACAAAAUAUUAUUAUUAUAUUAUUUUGAAUUUUUUUAAAAUUUUUAUUUACUUAUAUGAAUCGAAUCGGAUAUUCAAUUACAAUAUAAUAUUUUUUUGGAUAUCUGGACACUAAAUAUUCAGGUAUCUAUGGAUCAAAUCAAAUCGGAUAAUUGAUUAUUUAGACGAAUGACUAGAUCAAGAAUAUUUCUAAAAAUUUGGAUAUUUGAUUCGUGAACACCUAUACUUAGAGCAUAUGUAAAGAAACCGAUCAUUUAGGGUAUUCGUAUUUUAUACAGCAGUUUUAAUUGGUAUAUAGAACAUUAUGAAUUUUUUAAAGAAAAAUAAGAACACAAAAUUUUAUUUGAUCUUAAAAAAUUAUGAAAAUUUCUAAAAUGUUGACCUGACUCCAACAAGUCCUACGAUCAACGGAUCAGUUCAAUUAUUCACUAUGCUCUAUACUCACACACAUGCACUGGCUUUUUUUUUUGGAAUACUCAAUUCUUUAUCCGAUUCUUGUAUUAUUCAUGAACCUCUUAAGUUUUGUCAUAAAGCAGUUUGUCAGCAAUGCUUCACAUGCUAUUCGAACAAAAGACACCAAAAGUAAUUAUAUUUUUAUUCUGGUCGAUACAAAUACUGUCAGUUAAAGAAAGAAAAAAAUAGUUAGUUGGGCUGGCUAGCAACAUUCUACUUGGGUUUUAUACCAGCAUAACAAGAUAAGUGUUUGUCCAAUGACUUUUAGUGUAGUAGUUUUUGAGUUUCUGAAAAUCAUACUCGAUAUAAAAGAUUGAUUCGGAUCCGUGCCAGUCGUUUGAAACUAUACUGGAGAAAACUAUUUGAUAUAUGAGUAAUAUGUAAAGUUUGACGUAAUUAAACAUAAAAGAAGACAAUAUAUACAAUUUACCGAAUUUGCAUUAGUUUAUUUGGUCUUCUCAACAAUUGAACAUGUUUGUGUGGAUGAUGGUUGCCAAAUCUCAAACUUAAUUGGCCGCCGAUGCCCAUUUGUCGAACAUUCUAGUAUUUCUGAAUGAAUAAGUUAAAAAAUAUUAUUUAUAUAUUUAUUUCUGACUGUGAUAGCUCAAACAGCUCAAAUAUCUUUAACUUUACCACGGUGUUCCUGAAUGUACUUGAUGAUCUCUAAUGUGUUGAUAUUUCUGAAAUUGCAUCAUAUAAACAUAUAUUUGACAUAUACAUGAAUUACAUGUACCCGUUUAAAGAGUAUUUAAAUAGUUUUCAACGUAAUGAUUCAUUAGUUAAUAACUUAAUGUUAGUUUACCGUUAUCACAUUGUUCCCAUUGAUGCAUCCAAACACAGUACGUGAUAUAUUUUGAAUCCCCGUAUAUAUAAUUACAUAAUAUAAUUACAUAUCCACGAUUUGUACUUGAAAUACUUUUGAUUUUCCAUCUCACACUUGGACACAGGAACUCUCUCCGUUUCAUAAUAAAAUUAUGAUUCACAGCGUAAAUUAGUACUACGAAUCAAAAGAGAACCGAUUAAAAAUUCACAACGGAAAGCAACGAAAAUUUCGGCGCCAUUUUCUUAUUUAUUCUACAUGUGAUGUCGUUUAAACUUUUUUCCGUUUUUGGCCACAUAGUUACAAAUAGUGACAGAAUUUCACAAUCUUCCAUAAAUCUAUAUUUGGUCGUUGUUGUGAUGAUUCAUGUUGUCGUGAGUUCGUAGACGAAUGAAAAUAUCAUUCAAAAAUCUGUCGGCAUGGAUACAUUUUCUAUAUAUUCGGUUAAAACAGUUAUGUAAACAUUAUUUUUCUAAGAUUGUGUAGAUAACAUAUUGGGUGAGGAUGAAUUGUAUGUUGUACUCUUGACCUAAACCAAUACAAGAAAACCUAAUUUAACAUUUUCCAAAACAAAAUACAAAAAAACUUUAAUAUUUUCAAGGUUUCUUGACAUAAGCUUCAGUUAAUAUACUUUUUGACCUACUUUUUAUUUCUCCUCCCAAAGAGAGACCAUCACAAAGAUGUUUUACAACAAUGUGAAUCCAAAGAUGAAACCCAAAUAUACAUAAUAAUAUGAUACCAAGACUAGAGAAACUAGUGUGAAGCAGUAGAAAAGUCUGUCAAAUUUAAAUUAUAUGCUGAAACCAAUUUCUGAUGUAAGAUUGUUGAAUCAAGUGAGCCGAGCGUGUAUGGCUGAUGGUAUGAGACAAGAGUUUGGAGUCAAGACCACUCAAAUUCACCCGAAGGAUGAGAUGAAUGUCCUUAAGAAGAAUGUUUACUGUCUUUGAUGUAGAUUUAUGGAGCCAACAAUUCCUCUCUUUCCAAAUGCAAUACACAGCCAUUUGAAAAAAUAAGGAGCUAUACUUUCUUUAUCAUAUUUUCCAUUUCUUUUGCUUAUACAUAUGUUUUGAUAUAGUCUUAUUAUGUGUUUGAGCAAUUAGGGGUACAUUAUUGUGGUAUAUUUUUACAAUAUGAAAGGUUAAGAGUACGUUUGAAAGUGACACUAAUAUUUUGAGAAAUUGUCAAAAUUUUGAUAACUAAUCGAUUAAUAGCCUAUGAGUCAAACCCUAUACUAUACAUACGUGAAAGAAACUUUGACAAGGAAUCUGUGAUCUAGGGAGUCCUGACAGCAAGUCUUAAUUUCAGUACUUUCUAUAAAGUGGAAACGAUGAUUGUAUUGUUAGAGAAUGUACAAAUAUAUACUGAGUACAGAGGAUAGUAUAAGGUAAGUUAAACAUACAUAGAAUCAUAGAUUGAUAUCUUCUUAAUACACCCCCUCAAGAUGGAGGGAGUUCUCGUACUCCAAUCUUGGAACAUGCGAUAUUGAAGCCAAGACGAGGUGACGGUUUGGUUAAUGCAUUGGCAAGCUGAUCUUUGGCUGAGACAUAUGUGACACGCAGAAUACCAGACUGCAGUUGACCUCUAAUGUAAUGAUAAUCCAAGGCUAGAUGUUUCAUACGCUAAUGGAAAACUGGAUUGGCAUUCAAGUAAGUGGCUCCUUUGUUGUCACAAUAAACAACUGGUGGUAAUUAAUGCAGCUUGAUUUGCAGCUCUGUGAGAAUAUUACAGAUCCAAUGAACUUCCGAAGCAGCAUUGGCAAUGGCGCAAUAUUCGGCUUCAGUUGAGGAUCGAGCAACUCCAGUUUGCUUCUUAGUGGACCAGGAGAUGGGUUGGUUUCCUAAGUAGAUCACAUACGAUAUUCGGCUUCAGUUGAGGACUAACAUUUUAAUUUGAAAUGAAUCUUGAAAGAGUUAUUGCAAGAUGAAUUUGUAUAGAUUUGUGAAUUUUAAGAGUUGAUAGAUUUAAAAGAGUUAUGUAGAUUGUGAAAAUUUAUAUAAAUUGAUUUAUGAAAUUUGAUCGCAACUUUUUUAGAUUGGUAUAGACUUUCAUAAAUUUGUAUUAUCUUUUUUCUAUCAUUCAUUUUGUAAAGUAAAUAUCUAAUUUAUUUUUUGAUAAAUCAUAUAGCAUGAUUAUUUAUUUUUUCUUUCAAAGUUAAUAAAUAAUAAUAGUGAUACAUACAAAAUUAGGCAAUUCUCUUAGAUAGUUUCUUUUAAGUUAGUCACAAAAAAAGCACUAAAAAAUGAUCAAAAAAAGGUUUCAUUAAAAUGGCAAAAGAUUUUUUUACCCAUUGCUUUAUAGAUAUAAAAAUAAUAAAAAUCAAAGUAAUGAAUUUUGUUUUUUAAUUUCGAAUUACAUGGUUUUAAAUUCGAAUUUUUUUUAUAUUUUUCGAUUUUGUUUCAAUUUUUUUUUAAAAAAACNNNNNNNNNNNNNNNNNNNNNNNNNNNNNNNNNNNNNNNNNNNNNNNNNNNNNNNNNNNNNNNNNNNNNNNNNNNNNNNNNNNNNNNNNNNNNNNNNNNNNNNNNNNNNNNNNNNNNNNNNNNNNNNNNNNNNNNNNNNNNAACAAUAUAAAAAUAAUAUACAUUAAAAAUGUAAAAGUAUAUAAAAUGUAAUGAAUUAUAGUUUUAUACAUAUAGUUUAGAUUUAAAGUGCAAUAAAUAUUUGGUAAGUAUAACUAUUUUGUUUUCUAGUUCUUUUAAUCGCAUGAAUUUUGAAAAUCAGAGGGAUAUGUAUGAUAUUUUAAAAGUUGAGUUUUUUGAGUAAAACUGAAUUAAAUUCAUCUCUCGAUAGUACUAGAUUUAGUUAGAAUUAGAAAAUCAAUAAUAACUAAACUUUUUGAAUAACAAGGAUUUUAAAUAGAUUUUAAAAAAAAUUAAACUAAUAACAAUGGAUUCUAUUAAGAUUUUUGAAAUUCAAAAACUAAUUUCAAUAGAAUCUCAAAAUUUUCAAAGUUCAUAAGAAUUCAUAUACCAGUGACCUCUUUUAUUAAUUUUUUUUACAGUUCAAAGAUCUACUAAUAACUCUUUAAAAUUUGAGACCAAUGCAAAUAUUUCAUCGCAGUUUGCCAAACAGUACAAUUCAACUUGUGAUUCUUAAUCGUGGACGAAACUAAUAUUAGAUAAUGCUUUUUUAGGGAAUUACGGACUUCGGUCCCAAAACUCCAGAUAUCAAAAAAGAAAAUUCGUUGGGGCACUAGUUAUAUAUCCACUCUAUUCUUUUUUUGAUAAAUAACUCUAAUCACCGUAAAAGUAUUAUCUUUGCCGUUUUCGACAUGUACUUAAUCUGUUCACAUCUUAUUUGUAUGCUUAGUGAUUCCAUACCAACUUUAACUAGAGUUUAAUCUCUUGAAACAACAACUUUGUUUUUUUCUCAAAUUUUUUUUUUGCCUACUAUAACAUGCAAUAUUUUGGAAGUUACUAGUAAUUAUGUUAAAUGUAGACUGUAGAGUUGUCCGCCGUUUUCCCAAGUGGAAGUGGGCUACAUUAACUAUGGUUGUUGUAAAGCGGUAGAUCGUCAUAUGUAAUAUGUUCAAAAUAAAAUUCCAUAAGAUAUGACGAAAUGAUGAUUAACAUCUCAACAAAAGAGUAUUGUUAAGAUUUUUUUCGGUAACUUGGUUGUUAUGAAAAACGUUACAAGAUAGAAAAUUAGUCAAAAGUUUCUUUACUUUUAAAGAAAAGAAACUGAAAAAGGUUUGAAGUGGAAAGAAAAAGCAAAUAAAAAUAAGUGUAAAACUACAAAAACAAAACAGAAGAAUAGUUAGGAGGUGUCGGUGCCGACAGAUGAACCGGAGAAACCUGUGACCCACUAAAACGAGGCACGCAACGCUGCUCAACCCCCACCCCACACACACACACCGUUGAUAUUCAUUUAAUUCACACUCUAUAUAUGUAGUCCCAUAAUUCCAAUUAUAAAAGGUCUUUUUCUAAAUUCUAUUUUUUAUUCAUCAAAAUUGAGAAAGUAAUGAAUUUAUCCCCCCACUUUCUACGUUAACAUAAUAUUUUAUGGUUCAAAUGAAUCCACAAUCUUAUAUAAUUACAAAAAUUCUUCCGAAAGGAAAUGUAUCACAAAAAUAUUUUACACUGGAAAAAUUGGUAAUGUGCUAAAAUUUCAAAAAUGAGAUUGUGCGUGACACAUCUAAGCUUUAGUAGGGAUCAACUUUAGACAUAUGUUGAGUGCGAACAGAACCAUAUAUCUAUUAUGUAUCUGCUCGGUAAUUGUAAGAAAAAACAGUAAGGGUUUAGAGUUUGUGAUAGAAGAAGAGAUGAUGAUUGUUGCGCAAGUAACUCUUUCUUUGAUUUUCAUACUAUAUGAUGAAAUACUCAUGAAAACACUAUAUACUACUAAUUUAUUUGUGACUGGUCCAACCAUAUUUAAAACAUAAAAUUUAAUUAGGUAAAUAAAUAAAUUUAAUUAAAAUAAUAAAAUGGUUGAGAUACUUCAUUUAGGUGUUAGACCAAUGAAGAUCUCUUAGUUUGAAUGUAACAACGAGUUAGACUUGAUAAAGAAUGGUAAAAUAAACACACACAGCUUUUACAAAGUAACAAAAAUCGAAAUAGCAUCUGAUCCUGGGGACAUCUCAUCUUUCUUUUAGAGACUUUGAAACAUCGAGAUAAUUGAGCCGACAUGUCCCUAGUAGCAAUUCUGGUAGUUCCUCUGCUGUGUUUGCCUGCAUAAUCAGUUUCAAAACAUCAAAGGGAUAUAUCAUUAUUACUUAUAUGAUCCACAAAAUAAAUAACAUAGAGCAUGAUUGGUUUUGCUUUACCUGUAUCAAAAAGGCCAUUUCUAUAACCAAGUUGUUAAGAUACCCAAGAACAAGAUUGGUUACACCUCUUGCAACAGUUGAAGAUCCAACAUCAAUAUCAAGCUGAGAAAGAAACAAAUCCAAUAAACAUUAUAAUUUUAAUAUCAUAUAGCAUAUAAGCUUGAUUUUGAUUUAUGUUUUUUACCUCCAAGUAAUUCUUUCCACGGGUGUAACGUACUUCAAGUGCGUGACCCACCAAGCAAGCCUUUUUUCCAACACUCUGCUUAACAAUCCACGAACCUUUGGAGAUGUGAGGGAUGAGUUUAAAGCGCGAAUUGCGAUAAGCGUCAUCACCAUUCACAAAACUAUGUAACAAAGGAUGCUCUUCUAAUGGAGUUUUCAGCAUAUAGUACAAUGCUAGACUGAUCAUAGCAGAACCAGGGACCUGGUUUAUAUAUAUGUUUAAUAGUAAUUAGUGCCUCUUAACUAUGAAUAAUAUUAACAUUCCUUAGAAUAACAGCAGCUUAUCUCAAAGUUACCUGCAUGUUUACAAUGAAGAAAAACUCUGGACCGCCUUUUGCUGCGAAUUCUUGAACUAGACCGCCUAGUCGACCACCAAGAUCAUCUUCUCGCUUAUCAGAACUUAUCCAGUCUGCUCCAACCAUUUGCAUCAUUGUGCCAUUUGCCUUUACCUAUAGUUUGAGCAGUACCAGCAUCAUUAUCAUUGCAUCUAAUUAAGCUUCAAGAACAUAAACACAAGUGUGUAUCUAUAAAAUUGGUUACCUUUUGUUGGUCAUUUAAAUAAUUGUCUCCACGAAUCAAGAAUGUGGAUGGAUCAGCAAUAGACCAACUACAAGGCAUAGUAAGAUUUGGGUCUUGUUGGAGGGUGGCUCCAUAUAUGAAUGUGCUAUUUACAUCCAUACCGACCUCUUGUAAAUCCAUAUAGCCUUUCUUAUUAUUGGCUAGAUCUUGAAGUUUCUUGACAAUACCAGAUGGUGAUGGUAGCUUGAGCUGAAACACACACACACACAACUUUAAACUUUACUUUUUCCACAAGCAAACAAGAAGUGAGAGAGCAGAAAUUAACUUGAGAGUGUCCUUGUGAAAAGGGAGAGUUAUCAAUUAAGCUAUCAAACUCAUAAGACUCAUUGGGCUCAGGAACAUCGAAAAAUUCAUCAGAAGCAUCAUUUAAGUCCAUCAAACUGUUGCGUGCUGAAGAAGGUUUCUCCAUUUCCUCAACUUUCACAAGCUCCAGAUCAAUCCUUUUGGCUUCUUUUUUAAAGGGUAAAGUGUUGAUCUUAGACAAGGAGGAUUUGGUUUGCAUGAACUCCCCUGAGACGAACUCAGCGAAGCCGUGUCCUUGUUUCGCUUUGAACAUUUCACGUAAGGCCGCAAGUCUCUCAACCACACGAAUGGUUAUAGAUCUUUCAGAAGACGGCCUCAUGUAUAAGUUCCAGCUUCUCCAAUCAAUGGCUACCAUAUGCUUUACUAGUGAUUGCUUCCCUUUGCUUACAGGAGUCACCACAUAACCACCACCUACAUUCCAAAUGCAAAACUCAUAAAAACAAAGGAUCAUGAAGUUAAAUUCUAUUUUCCAUUCGAAAAUUCUAAUACGUCCCUUCGAGAUGAUGUGUUUUUGAUGUUCUUUCCCCAACUCGGAUCAACUUGCAUGCUUACUUACAUAUUUUGAUAACAAUAUCAAAUCAUUUCUAAUAAUGGAAUUAAAACAAAGAAAAUGAACUAGAGUGUGAGGCAAGAAACUUUACUUUUGACACAAGCACGAACAUAUCCUUUAGUUGGCGGACACUUCUUGUGAUAAACAGAGUGGCAAAGUAUCACUGUGAUAUUCAAGGAUGAGAAAGUUAUAAACCUUGAGAGAGGAAACAGAUCAGGAAAUAUUAUCAUUUAUCUAACCGUAGGUUCCAUCUUCUUCCCUUCUCCAGUAGCGUCGUAGCAACACGUCUCUUCGAUUCAUUAACCAUGGCAACCAAUCACUGUACAACUGGAUAUUAACUAUAUCUGUGUGUCCAUCAAGAUGCUCCACCACGGUUCCUUUGUAGAAACAAAAGUCCCAUCUACAAGAAAGUCAUGCAAACUCUAAGUCAAAAACCAUAUUAUAACCUCUAACACUAUAGAAAGUCGAGUUCCAUCUACUAGAGUUGUUUAGCCUCUCAGAUCAAAGUUAUCGAGCUUACUCUGAUCGUAAAGGACCGAGAGACAUUAGCGUAUUGAAAAUGUCUUCUGAAGUACCAUCAAUGACACCUACUGCCAUUAUUGCAGGAUGAUCAUCCCAAUGCUGCAAGAGGUUUGAGGUUUCAGCAAAAGAAACUAAAGUUAAGAAACCAAUCAUGAUUCACAAAUAUAAGGCCGGAUUUAAGAUUUAGAGGAUCUUAAACAUUUUUAGGUUAAUCUUAAUAAAAAUAUUUUUGGUAAUUUGGGAACCACACAAUCUAGGUGUGAUAGUUCUUUAAAAUUUGGAGCCAAAAUCAAAUAUUUUAUCCGGCUGUGCCCAAAAUCGACCCUGUAUAAAUGUAGUAUAUGUACAAUUUUGUAUUACCCGUCCGCGGGAAUCCCAGUCUUUAGCUUCUUUGAAAAGGCGCAAACCUGAAAGUUCAUAAGCUCAGUAAGGCCAGCAGUUUCUUGAACCACGAGUAUUUACAAAGAAGUUUAUCUUCUCUUACCGUUUUGGCAUCCAAAAAUUUUCCAUGGAGAAGGAGCAAUGACAUCAGGUGCUAUUGUUUCAACGUUCACCGAUGAGUAAUUUGUCCAGUCAACUGAGUUUUUGCGCCGUGACCUCCUUGAUACAUUAAACUUCACAAGUCCUUUCUCAGCAUGAGAUACAAACUCGCAGUCCGGAAAUGGAAACUUCUGAAAACAUAAAUCAAGUGUAUGUGAGUCUCAAAUCUUAUAAUGUAUAGAAAAUAUUGUAACAAACCUUUUGUGAAGCAUCUUGUAAUGAUCUGAUCCAUUUGGCUGCUUCUUCAGGACUACUUGCACCCAGCUGUUCAAAAGUGUCAUUCAAAAACCUAACUGAUAUUAAAAAUAAAAUAAAAAGAAACCUGAUAUGUGAAGAAAAACACUUUCCAAACAAACCUUUAAUUGAUCCAAAUGGUUUGAGGUGUUGUAAAGCGUAAAUAUGAAAAGGAUCUGAAACAACACAUGAACCAAAAAUAAUCAAUAAACAUCUGUAGAUUGAGUAAUAUAUAAGCUCAUUAGUAUCCAACAAAUGUUAGUACCUUUCUAUGGAAACUCUCUCUUCCAUUGUCUGUAACCCGAAUACAACAGUCUAGAGAUGCUCUUCUAUCAGGUUCCUAUACAGAAAACAAAAAAAAUAUAAAAACACAAUGUUCGCAACUUCUUCAUGUGAAUAUCUUGCAUCUACGCAUCAAUCUCUUAAAUACCAAAGAACAUAAUUAACACGUAACGAAAAUGUCAUGUUAUGAGAAAAUGAAAAAGACAAACCUCAUUCUGAUCAGAUGGUACAGAUUUAAAGCUUGUAAGGUUGUUGUCGUGAAGAACAAAAUAUCGUUUACGGGAGAAUUGAAGUCCAAACCGGUUAUGUCGGAUGGUAUAAAGCCAACCUUCCAUUCUUCCAUCAAUUUGAGACAUUUCCAUUUCUCUACAAAAAAACCUUUUUUAAGUUUUGCAUUUCGUAAAACAAUUCAAAUUCAAUAUUACAAAAUUUAUCAGGAAUUUUUUUAUUUACCACUUGAAAUGCUUGCUUCUUCCCCCUAAACAAAUAUUCACAAAACGUUUUAACUUGAAACGAUUCUCUGAUUCCGCCUAAGCGAAACAGAGAAUCGAAAGUAUGAAAGAUCAGUUGCACAAAGAAGUUUUGUUUAUUUAUUUUGUUUUUCUCUCAACCAAGAGAGAAAAACAAACAUAAAAGUUUAUUUUUCCUUUCUUUUAUUGCUGUAAGUUUCUGUUUUAGUUAUAAGAUUUUUAACUUUCGCUGGUUAAAAAUUGCUUGCUAUUUUUGUGAGAGGCUAAAUGAUUGGCGCUUCUGUGUUUGGGUUUAAAUUCUAUAAUUAGUUUUAAAAUGUAUAACUCUGCUAUUCAUUAUGUCCCUUCUACACUUUUAUUGUUUACAAAUAGACUCCAAAUGUAUUUAUAUUGUACGGUGAAUGACUGACCAUGAGUAGAACCAAGAAUUGAUCCAACACAUUCCACAACUUAAACUGAGACAAAGAAACAAGAAUUCGUUGUUACACACUUAAACACACAAAUUCAGUUUGUUACCAAAAAUAUAAUUAACGGGCCUUACGCGUCAACUGGGUCUAACCCAUCAAUUUGUUACAUACGGCCUAAUAUUUAUUUUACUGUGUUGGCAACAACAACAAAAGAAAAUUCUCAAAUAUUUAAGGUAGUAAAAACCACUAUGGGUUACUUCAAUUUAGAAAGACAAGUUAUAACUUCAAUUUAGAAAGAAAAAUCUAUUUUGUCUUUCGAAAUUAAUAAUUUUACUCUAUUAUUUCAAAAAAACUGGGAUAAAAAUAUAAAUAAAUAAAAUCUAUAUAUAUAAAAAAAUGUUUGUCUCCCUCCUGUUGUGCCACGUCACUAAGUCGCUUAAUAUAGUGUUGACACGUGUCCAUCUAACUAAAUGUUGCGUUUUAAUUAUGGUUCUUUGUUAUUUUUUUUGGGCUUUCGUUUUGUUUGUUACUUUUUUGGACUUUGUUUUGUGGGCUUAAUAAUUUACAUGAGUAGCUGCGUUUUUUUUUGCUAAAAUUCAAGAUUAAAGUUUGUAAUCUUCAUUUUUGUGUAACGUGUCAAGUGAUUUGUAAUAGAUAGACCCAAAGUUGCAAAACCAAUUAAGAUUCACUAAACCACUGAACAAUACGUCUAUCGGUUCUGGUCAGCCGCCAAAACCCAAUUUACAAAAUAUUACAGAACACGAUUUACAAAAAUAUUAAUCUGUUUAUGAGAAACCUGUUAUUGGCCAGACUAAAUAUUCAGAAGACCAUAAUUUGAACAAAUAAAAUUAACCGUAUUAAUAAAAAGGAAUUAAGGGCGAGGGAGAUCGACAUUAAUCUAAACAAUCAAACAUAAAACAGAAAGAUAUUCUGUAUAAAAAUUGAAAUACGGGUAUCAGAUAAUCAUAAAGAUAGUAUCAAUAAGAUUCAAACGCAAAUUAUCCCAGAAAUAUAGUUUCAAAUCAUAUGCCCAGCCAAAAGAAAGAACUUAAAAAGCACAAAAGUUGAAAACUUGAUUCUGAGUAUCUGUUCUCGAAGGUGAAUAAAUAUCAAACAAUUAAUCAGUCGUAAAAUACCAUUUGUUUUAUGAGAUUCAUCAUGUACUCAGAUCAUAUAAACCCACAAAUCUUUUUAAAAUAAAAACUGGAAAAUGACUUUUUACGAGAUUCAUUAUGUAGUCAGUCCAUAAACCCACAGAUCUUUUUAAAAUAAAGACUGGAAAAAGACUUAAUUUUCAUUAUAAGUCCAUCAGCAUCUCAAGAGUUAUCACAAUAACAUCUCAAUAUGUCUCACGGGAUUGAGAGACUUGUGGACAUUCUAUGUUCACCUCGACUACAUAAAAGAGAGCUUAGAUAUAAAGCCAGAAGGAAAAAAAAUGGAAAAGCUCAGAACUUCUUAGAGGUUGACCGUCAGCGAUAAAGAACAAAGCUCAUCUCUGUCACGCAAUUUUUUUUAAAAAAAAUCUUAUACCAGUAUCGAAGAAGAUGAUAAGAACUAUAAACAAUGAGACAUCACACUUUAUGAUUGACACGUUAUAUAUUAGUCGAGACAGGAUUAAGAGAAACCCUGAUUUUAUUGGGCUUUGUCAUUUACUAUGUAUUAAUGGGCUUCUCUAAAAACUGAGACGCUGUAGCUAAUGGAUCUUUGAGUUUAGAAAAACGGAGGAGUCAGAUCUUUUGAGUUGAGGUAAUGUUUCUCAAAUUUACAGAUUGAAGGCUCGGUUGAUAUGAUUUAGAGAAAUCGUUGGGUUGUGGUUUUCUUAAAAAAUAUUUUUUCUUUGAUUUUAGGGAACUUAGGUGAUAAAACCAAAUAAAAACCCAUUAUUCAUUAUAUAACCAAAAUCACACCUUUUUUCUCUUCUCUCUUCCUAUCUCUCUCCAAUCUCUUUCUACAAAACUAAAUUUACUUUUUUUUUUGUGGUUAUAUCACAAAUAAGCCCUUGAUUUUAUUUGGUUUGUAAUGUGUUCUCAUGAACUGGUUUGAAGACGAACAUUAUAUUUGUCUUUCUAUAGUAACUCUAUAAUAGAGAUGAAAUAUGCUCCAAUGUAUUCCUCUAAAAUAGUAAUCUCUAAAUAUAGAGUAAAAAUAGAGAAAUGUUAUUUCUUCCUCUAUAAAUAGAGAUCUCUAUUACAGAGGAAGAAAUAGAGGUGGGUUGGAGCAAUUUCACCUCUAAAUCUAUACUAUUAAAGCAAAAUCAUUCUUAUGAUUAUGCCCCUGACUUUUUUAAGAAAUUACAAAACAUACCAUUGUUUUUUUUUUAAAUACCUUUAAUGAUUUACAUAAAUUUAAAGCUCAUUCGAUAGGCCCAAAUUGAACCAUUGUUAACCCAUUAGGCCCAUUCUGUUUAAAAUAUAUUUAGUGAAAAUCAUUAAAAAUAUUGUUUUAUUUUUUAUACAGGGAUUAUACAUUUAAGAGAUAAACAAAUAUAUUAAUCCAUUAUGCCAAUUUGUGUAAAAUAUCUAUACUUAAAAUUAUAAAAAGCCUGUUUUAUUUUUAAAGUUGAGAUUAUACAUUUAAGAACUAAACAAAUUAAUAUAUGUGAUAUAUUUAAGAAUUAAACAAACAACGGAUUUGAAGUCCAAUAUGUGUAAACACAAUUUUACUAAUAACAAAUAAAUUACAAUUUAUAAAUAUAAAACCAUAUUAGAUAAUAAACUAUUCAAACACAUACUUCCACUAAUUAGAAUUACAAUUUAUAAAAAUAAAACCAUAUUAGAAAAUAGACUAUUGAAACACAUCCUCAUCUAAUUAGAAAUAAUAUUAAAAUUGAAAAAUGACAUUUUAAUAGGUAAAAUACCCGCCAUUUGAAAUGGCGGGUCAGUAUUUAGUGCUAUUAUAAAGGUAGAAAUAGCAAUGUGUUGGAGAUGCUCUAAAGACGGAUUCCCGAGAAAUGAGAACUCAAUGAUUCUAAAAACAUAACUAAGCUUCAAAUGAGUUGUAAAUUUAAAAAUUUGUUUAUAUGAAAAAGUAAUAAUAAGAUAAAAGUAUUUAAAGCAUUAAAAUGUUUAAUUAAAUUAAAUUUCACAUUGCUUACCUUCUGUUAAUUCGAAUAGGGAAAAUAUAACAAAUAGUGAGUUUUAAUCAGUUCAAAUUUUUUGAGCAACACAUUGAAUAAAAAAAUAAAAAAAUCUGAAUUGGCAUAUUAAUUAUAUUUUAGUAGUCAAUUCUAAUGUAAUAUAUAACUAUUAAAAUCUAAAUUAUAAUUGUAUUUGAUUUCUCAUACUCUUAUAUCUAAUUGUUAAAUAAACGGGUAGAGAAACUCUCAUUUGAUCAAAAACAGAAUAUAAAAGGCCUAUACUCCUUCUUUGGCUACAGAGGAAAAAUAAGAGACUAAAACUCAACUUUUUACUCCAUAAGAUCUAAUCAUAUCCUUACCAUAUGUGGUUUAACAAGGUUUCUCUAUUGUGUUCUCUUUUGAUCGAUUUUGUUUGAUUUAACUUAUAAUGCUCGAAGUUUAAAUUUAGAAAAAUGUUAUGAGUAUUAUAACACUAUAAAAUUUUGUAACUUUGAAUCAACGACAAUACUAAAUAUGCUCACAUGUCAUUUUUAGUUAUAUAAUUGAAAUUUGAUGUAGAUAACACUGAUUGCUUAACAUAAUCAUACUCACAACCAAAUGAACAUAAAAAAAAAUUAACAGAAAAAUUAUAUCAUCGAUAAAAACUAAUACAUCACAUCCCGCCCGUAGGGCGGGCCGAUCCUAGUAAGUUAUAUUUAUUGGUUUAACUCUCAUUUACUUUAGGGCAAAUCUCCAAAAUAGCACAUUUCUAAGUUUAUAUCACAAAAAUAGCACUGAAAAACUAAAAUGACCAAAAUAGCAUUUUAUCUUUUGAAAAAUUUAAAUUUUUUUAUUUUUCAAAAUUUGAAAUCUUAUCCCCAAAACCUCACUUCUCAACUCUAAACCCUAAAACCUAAACUCUAAACCCUAAACCCUAAAUUCUAAACCCUAAACCCCAUCCCUUAAGUGCUAUUUUUGUGACUUUUGACUUUGAGUGCUAAUUUGGGAACAAAAACUUGAUUUAGUG